GCUGUGAAUCCUGUUCCGCGACUGCGAUACAGCUGAAUUCUGAUCUCCUGCCACCCGGAGCAAAUCCCUGAUCUGCAUCAAGCCUCUGCCAGCCUCUAACUGGGAAGGCUGAAUUGACUCUGCUAUACGGGUUGCAGCUGCUAAAUUCUGAAUUGGAGUCCGAUAUACCUGAGUUGGAGGUUUGAAGAGUUGGCGUCGACUGGAGUCUAGAAUCCUUUGCCACGCGCGCUCAUCGAGUUCCCGCUGAAGGUUCUCCAGUCGAGUGCGCUCAGCCAGGUUGGCCAAGCGCGCGUCCUCUAUGGCGCGAGCCUCAGGGGUUUCUCCAACGAUCGGAGUGUGAAGCGCAUCCAUAUUCCAGCGGCGAAGCUCUUCCCUCUGCUGCGAAUUGAGGGGCUUGGGGAGGUAUUCCUCAUGGUCAUGCCACGGAUCGCCUCCGCAGUUGCCUCCCUCGGUGCCAAGAAAUCUGGGGGGAACAUGCGGUCCGUUGACAAUCAGGACGUCCGCCGCUGGAUAACUGCUGUCGCACUGGGAUGCAGUCUCUGCGGAGCCAGUCGAACAGGCCGUAGAGAGAUUCGUCGGGCUCGAUUGCCGUGACUUGAGCGGUGGUCAACUGGCGAGCCACUGCAUUCCUCACCCACCGCUGAAGCCUCGACCGACCGGAGCGCUUACGCCGGCGGGAAGCUGGGAGGGAGGAUGACACAAAAACCGGCCGAUACUGAGUCAAUGGUUGCCGCAGAAGGACGCCGCAGAUGCAUGCUCGAAAGUGCGUAGCUCCGCGGACCAGGAGCGCAUCCACGUCGAGCGGAGCCUCCUACAGCCAGGCAGAGUCGUCGGCGACGAACGUGAGCGCGCCGAGACGGAUCUCGCGGCCCUCAACCAAAACUCCACCUGAAACCAUGAUGAUGGGAAUCAGAAAAAUUGCAAAUUCUCCAAUAAGUCGCUAAGACACCUUCCCCAAGGUGGGCGCCAACUGUCGUGGCUCUAAGUCUGACAGUAGUGUAGGGGGUUGUAGGGGGGUACUAAGGAGAGGCAAGAUCCUAGCUAUGGAGUAGUUGUGCACACAAGUGUUUUACGAGUUCAGGCCCUUCUUGGAAGAAGUAACAGCCCUACGUCUCGGAGCCCGGAGGCGGUCGACUGGAUUAUAUGUGUGAGAGUUACAGGGGUGCCAACCCUUCUACCAGUGGAGGGGGGUGGCUUAUAUAGAGGAUGCCAUGACCCCAGCCAGUCCACGUAGCGGAGGAUUAAAGUACAUUAAGGUCCGGCGUUACUGGUAACGCCUUACAUAAAGUGUCAUCAUGACCAUAAAGACUACUUAAUUACAGAUCGUUUGGAUUCAGAGUAGAUCUUGAACUCCUGGUGGUCGAGUGAGUCUUCAUGGUCGAGUGUCUUCAGGUUCGUCGAGUGUCUUCUAGUCCGUCGAGUGGAGUCCCUCUUGGUCGACUGGAAGACGGCUUCUUCUAAAAGAUGUCCUCGGGGAGGGUACCUUGGACAGGUCCAUGACCCUACCCUAGGUACAUGACUUCAUCAGGCGCGCCCCUGACCCUCGUGGCCACCCCGUAAGGAGGUUGGUGCCCUUCUUUCGCCACAAGAAAGCUAAUAUCCGGAUAGAAAUCGUGUCCAAAGCACAACCCAAUCGGAGUUAUGGAUCUCCGGGAAUAUAAAAAACGGUGAAAGGGCAGAAUCGGGAACGCAGAAACAGAGAGAGACGGAGAGACAGAUCCAAUCUCGGAGGGGCUCUCGCCCCUCCCACGCCAUGGAGACCACGGACCAGAGGGGAAACCCUUCUCCCACCAAGGGAUAAGGUCAAGGAAGAAGAAGAAGAAGAAGAAGGGGGGAUCUCUCCCCCUCGCUUCCGGUGGCGCCGGAACGCCGCCGGGGGCCAUCAUCAUCACCGCGAUCUACACCAACACCGCCGUCAUCUUCACCAACAUCUCCAUCACCUUCCCCCUUCUAUAUUCAGCAGUCCACUCUCCCGCAACCCGCUGUACCCUCUACUUGAACAUGGUUCUUUAUGAUUCAUAUUAUUAUCCAAUGAUGUGUUGCCAUCCUAUGAUGUUUGAGUAGAUUUUUUUUGUCCUACCGUUGAUUGAUGAAUUGCUAUGUUUGGUUUAAUUUGCUUGUGGUUAUGUUGCUGUCCUAUUGUGCCCUCCAUGUAGCGCAAGCGUGAGGGAUUCCCUCUGUAGGGUCUGCAAUACAUUCAUGAUUCGCUUAUAGUGGGUUGCUUGAGUGACAGAAGCAUAAACCGGUGUAAGGGGGUUGCGGCAUAUGGGAUAAAGGGGACUUGAUGCUUUAAUGCUAUGGUUGGGUUUACCUUAAUGAUCUUUAGUAGUUGCGGAUGCUUGCUAGAGUUCCAAUCAUAAGUGCAUACGAUCCAAGAAGAGAAAGUAUGUUAGCUUAUGCCUCUCCCACAUAAAACUUGCUAUCGGUCUAGUAAAGUAGUCAAUUGCUUAGGGACAAUUUCACAACUCCUACCACCACUUUUCCACACUCGCUAUACUAAAUUUAUUACUUAUUUAUCUAAACAGCCCCUACUUUUUAUUUACGUGCUCUUUAUUAUCUUGCAAUUCUAUCCAACAACACCUACAAAGUACUUCUAUUUUCAUACUUGUUAUAGGUAAAGCGAACGUGAAGCGUGCGUAGAGUUGUAUCGGUGGUCGAUAGAACUUGAGAGAAUAUUUGUUCUACCUUUAGCUCCUCGUUGGGUUCGACACUCAUACUUAUCGAAAGAGGCUACAAUUGAUCCCCUAUACUUGUGGGUUAUCAUGGAUUGACACCAAGCUCUGGCCUUGAGCGGAGUUCCAGAACGAUCUCGAGUCUCUGAUAACUCGAAUCAAAGAAAUUCCCGGUCAAGUGCAAGAGUGGAAAAAGUCGUUUGCUCGCUGCGGUGCUGAUGUGGCUCUGUCCUUGGUCCGAGUCCAUUUUAAGGAAGUCGGAGAAGACAAGCUGGCGGCUAUCAAGGUUGCCAACACCAAGAAGCUCCAAUUCCAGUCCUUCAUGGAGACCUUCAUCGACGCUGCCACUCGCAUUGCAGACGACAUUGACCUUGACAGCUUCAUCGAGCCAGCAAGCCCUCCUCCCGAAGAGUGAACAAACUUUAUGCCUCACCUUAUUUGCCUCGGAAUGUCGAGUGAUUUUGUAACCAUUAAACUCUUUCAGGCCUGAUGCCUGAGUACUUCUGCCUGCGGUUCUGAACUUUGUGGGGUUUAUCUGAACUUGGUUUUUCUUGAAUAUGGUGUAUUUUCCUUUACCGUUUUCAAAUCUUUUUUAAUUCCUAGUGGAACUUGACUUCCCACUCGGAAUAGAUGUUGUACUUGUGAUGCAUCUCUAACGAUGUGUUCGAUCGGCACCUCGUCGUCCUUGCGGAUCGGGAUGGAAUGUACAUUGUACAUACAAUUCAGCUCCGAUGACGUGCUCGAUUGGCACCUUGUCGUCCUUGCGGAUCGGGAUGGAGCAUACGUUGUACAUGUGACGCAGCUCAAAGGAUCUUUGUGACUUAGGCGAGUAAGGGUCACUGCUAAGCCCCUGAGUGGGAGGAAUGCUCUCCACUCGGAGUAGUUUUUUAACUUAGGCGAGUACGGGUCGCAGCUAAGCCCCCGAGUGGGAGGAUUGCUCUCCACUCGGAGUAGUUUUUAACUUAGGCGAGUACGGGAUCGUAUCUAAGCCCCUAAGUGGGAGGAUUGCUCUCCACUCGGAGUAGUUUUUAACUUAGGCGAGUAUGGGAUCGCAGCUAAGCCCCCGAGUGGGAGGAUUGCUCUCCACUCGGAGUAGUUUUUAACUUAGGCGAGUACAGGGUCGCAGCUAAGCCCCUAAGUGGGAGGAUUGCUCUCCACUCGGAGUAGUUUUUAACUUAGGUGAGUAGGGGAUCGCAGCUAAGCCCCCGAGUGGGAGGAUUGCUCUCCCCUCGGAGUAGUUUUUAACUUAGGCGAGUACGGGAUCGCAGCUAAGCCCCCGAGUGGGAGGAUUGCUCUCCACUCGGAAAGGUUUUGAAACUUAGGCAAAUCAGGUUCGCAGCUAAGCCACCCACUAGGGGAUUUUGAACACAUGUGUUUAUGGGAAAACAAUCAUUAAGAUACUGCAAAAAUCUUGUCUUUGAUAAGCCAACUGAAAAACUCUUAAUACAACUCGUCGAUCCGAGUGGUUUAGGUAUAGAAAUGGCGAAGCAGCUCUGCAUUCCAUGCGCAUGGCUCGUCCACUUUCUUGGCUACGUCGUAGAGGUGACAUGCUCCGUUGUGGAGCACCUUGGUGAUGAUGAAGGGCCCUUCCCAGGCCGGAGCAAGCUUGUGAGGCCGUUUCUGAUCCACUUGGAGCACAAGGUCCCUUUCCUGGAAUGCUCGACCUCUGACAUUACGGGCAUGGAAUCGGCGCAGAUCUUGUUGGUAGAUGGUCAAUCGGAUCAGAGCCAUCUAACGCAACUCCUCCAGGAGAUCAACUGCGUCCUGGCGAGCCUGUUCUGCUUCAUCUUCUGAGAAGAUUUCCACUCGGGGAGCAUUGUGCAGGAAGUCACUUGGAAGCACAGCUUCAGCACCAUACACCAUGAAGAAAGGGGUUCAGUCAGUCGACCGUUUCGGAGUUGUUCUCAGUCCCCAUGAGACGGAUGGCAACUCGGUCACCCAAGCUCUUGCAGCAUGCUUGAGGUCGUACAUCAAUUGGGGUUUCGGUCCUUGAAGGAUCAAACCAUUCGCCCUUUCUGCUUGCCCAUUUGACUGUGGGUGCGCAACGGAUGCGUAGUCGACCCGAGUGCCUUGGGAAGCACAGAAUGCCUUGAACUCAUCAGAAUCAAAGUUGGAGCCGUUAUCUGUGAUAAUGUUGUGAGGGACUCCAUAUCUGAAUAUCAACUCCCUGAUGAAACUGACGACAAUGCUUGAGUCAAGGUUUUUGAUAGGCUUAGCUUAGAUCCAUUUGGUGAACUUGUCGACAGCUACGAGCAAAUGAGUGAAGCCACUUCUGCCGGUCCUGAAGGGUCCAACCAUAUCUAACCCCCAGACUACAAACGGCCAGACGAGUGGAAUAGUCUUCAAGGCAGAUGCAGGCUUGUGAGACAUGUUGGAGUAGAACUGACAACCUGCGCACUUGUCGACUAUAUCCUUUGGCAUCUUGCACGCGACCAAUAGAAUCCCGCUCGGUAUGCUUUGUCCAUGAUGGUCCGAGAGGACGCAUGGUGACCAUAGGUCCCCGAGUGGAUCUCGUUUAAAAUCAUUCAACCUUCUUCUAGGGUGAUGCAGCGUUGAGCCACUCCUGCGACACUUUCUCUGUAAAGCUGCCCUUUUAUCACGAUGAAAGCCUUCGAUCGACGUACGAUCUGGCGGGCCUCAACCUCAUCUUCUGUAAGUUCCUGCCUGCGCAGGUACGCGAUGUAUGGCACCGUCCAGUCGGGUGUGAUCACUAAGACUUCCAUGACCAAGUUGACCACAACUGGGACUUCAAUCUCAGUUGGAUUGGUUGAACUUAUCAGUUGUGGGGGCUCCUCCUUGAAGGGAUCUUCUUGUACUGACAGGGUGUGGAGAUGUUCCAAGAACACAUUACUGGGAAUAGGCUUCUGAGUGGAACCUAUCUUCGCCAGAUCAUCAGCAGCUUGAUUCUUGAUUCGGGUUAUGUGGUGGAGCUCUAACCCCUCAAGCUUCUUCUCUAGUUUUCUUACUGCAUUGCAAUAACUGGUCAUUGCUGGACUCCUGAUGUCCCAUUCCUUCAUUACUUGAUUAACCACUAAGUCUGAGUCGAUGUAGACCAUCAAGUGUCGGACGCCGAGUGAAAUGGCCAUACGCAACCCAUACAACAGUGCCUCAUACUCAGCUUCAUUGUUUGAAGAAUCAAAGUGAACUGGAGGACAUAUAUGAGCUUGUCUCCUCUUGGGGAUACUAAAACCACUCCUGCACCAGAGCCAUUCAACAUCUUGGAUCCAUCAAAGAACAUAGUCCAAUGUUCCAAUUGAAUCUAAGUCGGUUGCUGUUGUUCAAUCCACUCUAUGAGGAAAUUUGUUAUUGCUUGAGACUUGAUGGCUUUCUUUUCCUCAAACUUGAUAUCCAAAGGAAGGAAUUCAAUCGCCCACUUUGCCACUCGACCCGUUGCAUCUCUAUUAUUCAGAAUUUCUGACAAUGGAGCGUCGCUGACGACUGAAACUGAGUGGUCUGAGAAGUAGUGUGCAACUUUUUUCAUAGUCAAGUAAAUUCCAUAAACAAGCUUAUGAUAAUGAGGAUAUCUCUACUUGGACGGAGUCAAGACUUCCGAAAUGUAAUACACAGGGCGCUGAACUUUGAAGGCUUUGCCUUCUUCUUCCCGCUCGACUAUGAGCACUGUGCUGACAACAUGUACAGUGGCUGCGAUGUAAAGCAGUAAAGGCUCCUUGCUGACAGGAGCGGCAAGUACCGACUAGGUGGAAAGCAUGGCUUUGAGCUCUUCAAAUGUUGCUUCGCCUUCGUCAUUCCACUCGAACUUGUUAGACUUCUUCAUCAAUCGGUAAAGAGGUAAUGCCUUUUCACCGAGGCAUGAGAUGAAUCGACUCAGCCAAAAAAAUAGUAAGCUUCUAAACAUCAUGCACACGCACAGGGCAUUUCAUUCGGAGGAUUGUGCCAAUCUUCUCAGGGUUUGCAUCGAUCCCCCAUUCGGAAACGAGGAAACCGAGUAGCUUUCCACCUGGGACUCCGAAUGUGCACUUUGAUGGAUUAAAAUUGAUAUCGUAUCUUCUUAAGUUGGCAAAGGUUUCAGCGAGGUCAAUCAGUAGGUCGGAACCUUUGCGUGACUUGACCACUAUCUCAUCCAUGUAUGCUUCCACAUUCCGACUGAUUUGAGUGAACAGGAACUUCUGAAUCAUGCGCAUGAAUGUGGCACCAACAUUCUUGAGGCCAAAGGGCAUAGUAACAUAGCAAAAACAUCUGAAUGGGGAGAUGAAAGUUUUCUUUAUCUCGUCGGGUCCUUACAGACGGAUCUGAUGGUACCCGGAAUAAGCAUCCAAAAAGGACAAUCGCUCACAUCCCAUAGUUGAGUCGACUAUCUGGUCGAUGCGAGGCAGAGGAAAAUGAUCUUUCGGGCAGGCCCGAUUGAUAUGCUUGAAAUCAAUACACAUUCAAAGUGACUUGUCUUUAUUGGGGACCAUGACAACAUUGGCGAGCCACUCGGAGUGGUAUAUCUCACGGAUGAACUCAGCAGCCAGAAGUCGAGCCACCUCCUUGCCAAUGGCCUUCCUCUUCUCUGCGGUGGACCGACGGAGAUGCUCUUUAACGGGUUUUGCUUUCGGGUCGACUCGCAAACGGUGCUCAGCCAGUCCCCUGGGUACACCUGGCAUGUCAGAUGGCUUCCAUGCAAAGAUGUCCUAGUUCUCACGGAGGAACUGGAUGAACGCUUCUUCCUAUUUGUUGUCGAGUGUUGUUGAGAUAUGAGUCGGAGGAGCAUUGGGAUUGGUAGGGUGAAUGUGAACCAGCUUUGUUUCGCUGGCCGGCUGAAAUGCGGACUCCGAGGCAGGCCUCUUGGCACGCAACAAAUCACUCGGAUCUGCAUUCUUCUGGUAAUCCUGAAACUCUACGGCUGCCAUCUGUUCAUCGGUGAUCUUUGAACCUUUAUAGAGACAAUCUUCUGCUCUCUGCCGAUUUCCAGUGACUGUGAUCACACUUUCGGGGCCAGGCGUCUUCAACUUAAGGUACACAUAACACGGUCGAGCCAUGAAACUACCAUAAGCAUGUCUGCCUAGAAUGGCAUGAUAGGCACUGUCAAAAUCCACUACCUCAAACGUCAACUUUUCCUUGCGGUAAUUCUUGGAAUCACCGAAAACCAAAUCAAGAGUGACCUGACCGAGUGAAUUGGCUUUUUUUCCUGGGAUGAUACCACGGAAUCUCAUGUUGCUCUCACUGAGCUUGGACAUUGGAAUGCCCAUCCCUCGGAGGGCCUCAGCAUACAAUAUAUUCAAUCCACUUCCACCGUCCAUCAAAACCUUGGUCAGUCGGGUGCCCCCAACGACUAGGUCGACCACCAACGCUUGCCGCCCAGGGGUAGCAACGUGUGGCGGGUGGUCGUACUAGUCGAAUGUAAUAGGGGUUUUUGACCACUUCAAAUAUCUUGGCAUUUCCAGAGAAACCAUGUUCACCUCUCUGUUAAUAGAUUUCAGUCGACUUUUCCUCUCGAGGUCAGCAAAAAUCACCAGGGUGGCAUUAACAUUAGGGUAACCACCAUCUUCCUCUUUGUAUUCCUCCUUAUCAGACUCUUUGUCCUUUUCACUGGGCUAGAUCUCUCGGAAACUCUGAAGCAGGAGUCGUCACUGUCGAGUGGUAUGCUUGGGAAGAAUCAGAUUCCCCUCUUCAUCCUUUUUGGUGUGUAUAUGACACGGUAAAUCAAGCACAUCAUUUCUUGCUUGAUCUUUCACUUUUUAGGGGUCCAAGGCCCUUUAGGCUUCCUUUUGAACUUCCCUUGAUUCAAAAAUGCUGCCUCGGCACAGCCUGCAGCCUCAGCUUUUUGUUUCUGCUUCCGACCGGAGUUUCCUCCUCUGGUGUCCUGGGCGACUAGUCUGUUCUUGCCGCUCCGGAGUCGUCUUCUUCUUUGCCGUUAGCAUACCGAGUGGCAAUCUCCAUCAUCCGAGUCAGAGUCAUGUCUCCGGUUCGACCGAACUUCAGAUUGAGCUCUCUGUAGCGAACGCCUUCUUUAAAGGCACAAACUGCAUGGUGAUCCGACACAUUCUCCACCAUGUGAUGAAGAGUAGUCCAUCUCUAGAUAUAGUCUCUCAAAGUCUCAUUCUAUUUCUGAACACAGUGCUGCAAUUCUGUCAAACCAGCAGGCCGCUUGCAAGUGCCCUCAAAUGUUUUGGUAAACACUCAGGCUAAUUCUUCCCAAUUGAAAAUUCUCCCAGGGGCCAACUGAUUCAGCCAGGCUCUGGCAGAACCUUCAAGCAUCAAAGGGAGGUGCUUCAUGGCCACCUCGUCGUUGUCGCCGCCAAUAUGCACAGUCACUCGGUAAUCUUCCUGAAGGAAAUAUGCCCUAGAGGCAAUAAUAAAGUUAUUAUUUAUUUCCUUAUAUCAUGAUAAAUGUUUAUUAUUCAUGCUAGAAUUAUAUAACCGGAAACAUUAUACAUGUGUGAAUACAUAGACAAACUGAGUGUCACUAGUAUGCCUCUACUUGAUUAGCUCAUUAAUCAAAGAUGGUUAUGUUUCCUAGCCAUGGACAAAGAGUUGUCAUUUGAUUAACGGGGUCAUAUCAUUAGGAGAAUGAUGUGAUUGACUUGACCCAUUCCGUUAGCUUAGCACUUGAUCGUUUAGUAUGUUGCUAUUGCUUUCUUCAUGACUUAUACAUGUUCCUAUGACUAUGAGAUUAUGCAACUCCCGUUUACCGGAGGAACACUUUGUGUGCUACCAAACGUCACAAUGUAACUGGGUGAUUAUAAAGGUGCUCUACAGGUGUCUCCGAAGGUACUUGUUGGGUUGGCGUAUUUCGAGAUUAGGAUUUGUCACCCCGAUUGUCAGAGAGGUAUCUCUGGGCCCUCUUGGUAAUGCACAUCACUAUAAGCCUUGCAAGCAAUGUAACUAAUGAGUUAGUUGUGGGAUGAUGCAUUACAUAAGGAGUAAAGAGACUUGCCGGUAAUGAGAUUGAACUAGGUAUUGAGAUAUCGACGAUCGAAUCUCGGGCAAGUAACAUACCUAUGACAAAGUGAACAAUGUAUGUUGUUAUGCGGUUUGACCGAUAAAGAUCUUCGUAGAAUAUGUAGGAGCCAAUAUGAGCAUCCAGGUUCCGCUAUUGGUUAUUGACCGGAGAUGAGUCUCGGUCAUGUCUACAUAGUUCUCGAACCCGUAGGGUCCGCACACUUAACGUUCUUUGAUGAUUUAUAUUAUGAGUUAUGUGUUUUGAUGUACCAAAGGCACUUCGAAGUCCCGGAUGAGAUCGGGGACAUGAUGAGGAGUCUCGAAAUGGUCGAGGCGUAAAGAUCGAUAUAUUGGACGACUAUAUUCGGACAUCGGAAAGGUUCUGAAUGAUUCAGGUAUUUAUUGGAGUACUAGAGAGUUACGGGAAUUCGCCGGAGAGAAGUAUUGGGCCUUAUUGGGCCAUACGGGAAAGAGAGAGGGGUUGCCUAGGUCAGGCCGCGCCCCCCCCCCCCAAGGCCUAGUCCGAAUUGGACUAGGGGGAGGGGUUGUGCCCCCUCCUUCCUUCCCUUCUUUCUUCCCUUUCCUUGACUCCUACUCCUACUACAUGGAAGGGGGGAUUCCUACUCCCGGUGGGAGUAGGACUCCCCACGGUGCGCCAUAGAGAGGGUCGGCCCCUCCCCUCCUCUCCUCCUUUAUAUACUGAGGCAAGGGGCACCCUAUAGACAUAACAAUUGAUCCUUGAGAUCUAUUAUCCGUGUGCGGUGCCCCCCUCCACCAUAUUCCACCUCGAUAAUUACGUAGCGGUGCUUAGGCGAAGCCAUGCGCCGGUAGAACAUCAUCAUCGUCACCACGCCAUCGUGCUGACGAAACUCUCCCUCGAAGCUUGGCUGGAUCGGAGUUCGAGGGGCGUCAUCGAGCUGAACGUGUGCUAAACUCAGAGGUGACGUGUGUUCGGUACUUGAUCGGUUGGAUCGUGAAGACGUAUGACUACAUCAACCGUGUUGUGCUAACGCUUCCGCUUACGGUCUAUGAGGGUACAUGGACAUACUCUCCCCUCUCGUUGCUAUGCAUCACCAUGAUCUUGCGUGUACGUAAGAAAAUAUUUGAGAUUACUACGUUCCCCAACAGUGGUAUCAGAGCCUGGUUUUAUGCCUAGAUGUUAUAUGCAUGAGUAGAAACAAGUGAGUUGUGGGCGAUACAAGUCAUACUACUUACCAGCAUGUCAUACUUUGGUUCGGUGGUAUUGUUGGAUGAAAUAGCCCGGACCAACAUUACGUGUACGCUUACUGGAGACUGGUUCUACCGACGUGCUUUGCACAUAGGUGGCUAGCGGGUGUCGGUUUCUCCAACUUUAGUUGAACCGAGUGUGGCUACGCCCGGUCCUUGAGAAGGUUAAAACAGCACUAACUUGACGAACUAUCGCUGUGGUUUUGAUGCGUAGGUAAGAACGCUUCUUGCUCAGCCCGUAGCAGCCACAUAAACUUGCAACAACAAAGUAGAGGACGUCUAACUUGUUUUUGCAGGGCAUGUUGUGAUGUGAUAUGGUCAAGAUGUGAUGCUAUAUUUUAUUGUAUGAGAUGAUCAUGUGUUGUAACCGAGUUAUCGGCAACUAACAGGAGCCAUAUGGUUGUCGCUUUAUUGUAUGCAAUGUUAUCGCCCUAUAAUUGCUUUACUUUAUCACUAAGCGGUAGCGAUAGUCGUAGAAGCAAUAAGUGGUGAAACGACAACAAUGCUACGAUGGAGAUCAAGGUGUCGCGCCGGUGAUGAUGGUGAUCAUGACGGUGCUUUGGAGAUGAAGAUCACAAGCACAAUAUGAUGAUGACCAUAUCAUAUCACUUAUAUUGAUUGCAUGUGAUGUUUAUCCUUUAUGCAUCUUAUUUUGCUUUGAUUGACGGUAGCAUUAUAAGAUGACCUCUCACUAAAUUUUGAGAUAUAAGUUUUCUCCCUGUGUAUGCACCAUUGCGAAAGUUCUUCGUGCUGAGACACCAUGUGAUGAUCGGGUGUGAUAGGCUCUACGUUCAAAUACAACGGGUGCAAAACAGUUGCACACGCGGAAUACUCAGGUUAAACUUGACGAGCCUAGCAUAUACAGAUAUGGCCUCAGAACACUGAGACCGAAAGGUCGAGCAUGAAUCAUAUAGUAGAUAUGAUCAACAUAGUGAUGUUCAUCAUUGAAAACUACUCCAUUUCACGUGAUGAUCGGACAUGGUUUAGUUGAUUCGGGUCACGUGAUCACUUAGAUGAUUAGAGGGAUGUCUAUCUAAGUGGGAGUUCUUAAGUAAUAUGAUUAAUUGAACUUUAAUUUAUCAUGAACUUAGUCCUUAUAGUAUUUUGCAAAUUAUGUUGUAGAUCAAUAGCUCGUGUUGUUGCUUCCCUAUGUUUUUAUAUGUUCCUGGAGAAAACUAAGUUGAAAGAUGAUAGUAGCAAUGAUGCGGACUUGGUCCGUGAUCUGAGGUUUAUCCUCAUUGCUGCAUAGAAUAAUUAUGUCCUUGAUGCACCGCUAGGUGACAGACCUAUUACAGGAGCAGAUGCAAACGUUAUGAACGUUUGGCUAGCUCAAUAUGAUGACUACUUGAUAGUUUUGUGCACCAUGCUUUAUGGCUUAGAACCAGGACUACAAAAAUGUUUUUGAAACGUAACGUAACAUAUGAGAUGUUCCAUGAGAUGAAAUUGGUAUUUCAGACUCAUGCCCGUGUCAAGAGGUAUGAGACCUCUGACAAAUACUUCGCCUAAAAGAUGGAGGAGAAUUGCUCAACUAGUGAGCAAGUGCUUAGAUUGUCUGAGUACUACAAUUUCUUGAAUCAAGUGGGAGUUGAUCUUCCAGAUAAGAUAGUGAUUGGCAGAGUUCUCUAGUCACCAUCACCAAGUUACUGCAACUUUGUGAUGAACUAUAGUAUGCAAGGGAUGACGAAAACGAUUCCCGAGCUCUUUGUGAUGUUGAAAUCGACGAAGGUAGAAAUCAAGAAAAUAGCAUCAAGUGUUGAUGAUUGAUAAGACCACUAGUUUCAAGAAAAGGGCAAAGGAAAAGAAAGGGAACUUCAAGUAGAAUGGAAAGCAAGUUGUCACUCCCGUGAAGAAGUCCAAAGCUGGACCAAAGCCUGAAACUAAGUGCUUCUACUGCAAAGGAAAUGGUCACUGGAAGCGGAAAUGCCCUAAAUAUUUGGUGGAUAAGAAGCAUGGCAAAGUGAAAAGGGGUAUAUUUGAUAUACAGGUUAUUGAUGUGUAUCUUACUAGUGUUUAUAGUAGCUCCUGGGUAUUUGAUACUUGUUCGGUUGCUAAGAUUAGUAACUCGAAACAGGAGUUACAGAAUAAACAGAGACUAGUUGAGGGUGAAGUGACGAUGUGUGUUGGAAGUGGUUCCAAGAUUGAUAUGAUCAUCAUCGCAGACUCCCUAUACUUUCGAGAUUAGUGUUGAACCUAAAUAAAUGUUAUUUGGCAUUUGCGUUGAGCAUGAAUAUGAUUUGAUCAUGUUUAUUGCAAUACGUUUAUUCUUUUAAAGUCAGAGAAUAAUUGUUUUUCUAUUUACAUGAAUAAAACCUUCGAUGGUCAUACAACCAAUGAAAAUAGUUUGUUGGAUCUCGAUCGUAGUGAUACACAUAUUCAUAAUAUUGAUGCCAAAAGAUGCAAAGUUGAUAAUGAUAGUGCAACUUAUUUGUGGCACUGCCGUUUGGGUAAUAUCAGUGUAAAGCGCACGAAGAAACUCCAUAAAGAUGGAUUUUUGGAAUCACUUGGUUAUGAAUCAUUUGAUGCUUUUGAACCGUGCCUUAUGGGCAAGAUGACUAAAACUCCGUUCUCCGGAACAAUGGAACGAGCUACUGACUUAUUGGAAAUAAUACAUACCGAUGUAUGCGGCCCAAUGAGUGUUGAUGCUCGUGGCGGGUAUCGUUAUUUUCUGACCUUCACAGAUGAUUUGAGCAGAUAUGAGUAUAUCUUCUUAAUGAAACACAAGUUUGAAACAUUUGAAAAGUUCAAAGAAUUUCAGAGUGAAGUGGAGAAUCAUCGUAACAAGAAAAUAAAGUUUCUACAAUCUGAUCGUGGAGGAGAAUAUUUGAGUUACGAGUUCGGCCUUCAUAUAAACCAAUGUGGAAUAGUUUCACAGUUCACACCACCUGGAACACCACAGCGUUAUGGUAUGUCCGAACGUCGUAACCGCACUUUUUUGGAUAUUGUGCGAUCUAUGAUGUAUCUUACCGAUUUACCACUAUCGUUUUGGGGUUAUGCAUUAGAGAUAGUUGCAUUCACGUUUAAAUAGGACACCAUCGAAAUCCGUUGAGACGACGCCUUAUGAACUAUGGUUUAGCAAGAAACCAAAGUUAUCGUUUCUUAAAAGUUUGGGGCUACGAUGCUUAUAUGAAAAACUUUCAACCUGAUAAGCUCAAACCCAAAUCGGAGAAGUGCGUCUUCAUAGGAUACCCAAAAGGAAACUAUUGGGUACACCUUCUCUCACAGAUCUGAAGGCAAGAUAUUCAUUGCUAAGAAUGGAUCCUUUCUAGAGAAGGAGUUUCUCUCGAAAGAAGUGAGUGGGAGGAAAGUAGAACUUGAUGAGGUAAUUGUACCUUCUCCCAAAUUGGAAAGUAGUUCAUCACAGAAAUCAGUUCCAGUGAUUCCUACACCAAUUAGUGAGGAAGCUAAUGAUGAUGAUCAUGAAACUUCAGAUCAAAUUACAACCGAACCUCGUAGGUCUUCCAGAGUAUGGUCCGCACCAAAGUGGUACGGUAAUCCUAUUCUGGAAAUCAUGUUACUAGACCAUGAUGAACCUACGAGCUAUGAGGAAGCAAUGAUGAGCCCAGAUUCCGCGAAAUGGCUUGAAGCCAUGAAAUCUGAGAUAGGAUCCAUGUAUGAGAACAAAUGUGGACUUUGAUUGACUUGCCCGAUGAUCGGUAAGCCAUCAAGAAUAAAUGGAUCUUCAAGAGUAAGACGGACACUGAUAGUAGUGUUACUAUAUACAAAGCUUGACUUGUUGCGAAAGGUUUUCGACAAGUUCAAGGUGUUGAAUACGAUGAGAUUUUCUCACUCGUAGUGAUGCUUAAGUCUGUCCGAAUCAUGUUAGCAAUUGCCACAUUUUAUGAAAUCUGGCAAAUGGAUGUCAAAACUACAUUCCUUAAUGGAUUUAUUAAAGAAGAGUUGUAUAUGAUGCAACCAAAAGGUUUUGUCGAUCCGAAAGGUGCUAACAAAGUGAGCAAGCACCAGCGAUCCAUUUAUGGACUGGUGCAAGCCUCUUGGAGUUGGAAUAAACGCUUUGAUAGUUUGAUCAAAGCAUAUGCUUUUAUACAGACUUUUGGAGAAGCCUGUAUUUACAAGAAAGUGAGUGGGAGCUCUCUAGCAUUUCUGAUAUUAUAUGUGGACGACAUAUUGUUGAUUGGAAAUGAUAUAGAACUUCUGGAUAGCAUAAAAGGAUACUUGAAUAAAAGUUUUUCAAUGAAAGACCUCGGUGAAGCUGCUUACAUAUUGAGCAUCAAGAUCUAUAUAGAUCGAUCAAGACGCUUGAUAAGUUUUUUCAAUGAGUACAUACCUUGACAAGAUUUUGAAGUAGUUCAAAAUAGAAGAGUCAAAGAAAGAGUUCUUGCCUGUGUUACAAGGUGUGAAAUUGAGUAAGACUCAAAGCCCGACCACGGCAGAAGAUAGAAAUGAAAGUCAUGCCCUCCUUAGUCAUAGGUUCUAUAAAGUAUGAUAUGUUGUGUACGAGACCUAUUGUAUACCUUGCUCUGAGUUUGGCAAGGGAGUACAAUUUUAAUCUAGGAGUAGAUCACUAGAUAGUGGUAAAGAAUGUCAUUAGUAAGGACUAAGGAAAUGUUUCUUGAUUAUGGAGGUGAUAAAAGAAUUCAUCGUGAAGAGUUACAUCGGUGCAAGCUUUUACACCGAUCCAGAUGACUCUAAAGUCUCAAUCUGGAUACAUAUUGAAAGUGGGAGCAAUUAGCUAGAGUAGCUCCGUGCAGAGCAUUGUAGACAUAGAAUAUUUGCAAAAAGCAUACGGCUCUGAAUGUGACAGACCCGUUGACUAAACUUCUCUCACGAGCAAAACAUGAUCAUACCUUAGUACUCUUUGGGUGUUAAUCACAUAGCGAUGUGAACUAGAUUAUUGACUCUAGUAAACCCUUCGGGUGUUAAUCACAUACAGAUGUGAAUAUUGGUGUUAAAUCACAUGAUGAUGUGAACUAGAUUAUUGACUCUAGUGCAAGUGGGAGACUGAAGGAAAUAUUCCCUAGAGGCAAUAAUAAAGUUAUUAUUUAUUUCCUUAUAUCAUGAUAAAUGUUUAUUAUUCAUGCUAAAUUUGUAUUAACCGGAAACAUGAAACAUGUGUGAAUACAUAGACAAACUGAGUGUCACUAGUAAGCCUCUACUUGACUAGCUCGUUAAUCAAAGAUGGUUAUGUUUCCUAGCCAUGGACAAAGAGUUGUCAUUUGAUUAACGGGAUCACAUCAUUAGGAGAAUGAUAUGAUUGACUUGACCCAUUCCGUUAGCUUAGCACUUGAUCGUUUAGUAUGUUGCUAUUGCUUUCUUCAUGACUUAUACAUGUUCCUAUGACUAUGAGAUUAUGCAACUCCCCUUUACCGGAGGAACACUUUGUGUUCUACCAAACGUCACAAUGUAAUUGGGUGAUUAUAAAGGUGCUCUACAGAUGUCUCCGAAGGUACUUGUUGGGUUGGCAUAUUUUGAGAUUAAGAUUUGUCACCCCCAUUGCUGGAGAAGUAUCUCUAGGCCCUCUCGGUAAUGCACAUCACUAUAAGCCUUGCAAGCAAUGUGACUAAUGAGUUAGUUGCGGGAUGAUGCAUUACAUAACGAGUAAAGAGACUUGCCGGUAACGAGAUUGAAUUAGGUAUUGAGAUACCGACGAUCGAAUCUCGGGCAAGUAACAUACUGAUGACAAAGUGAACAACGUAUGUUGUUAUGCGGUUUGACCGAUAAAGAUCUUCGUAGAAUAUGUAGGAGGCAAUAUGAGCAUCUAGGUUCCGCUAUUGGUUAUUGACCGGAGAUGAGUCUCGGUCAUGUCUACAUAGUUCUCGAACUCGUAGGGUCCGCACGCUUAACGUUCUAUGACGAUUUAUAUUAUGAGUUAUGUGUUUUGAUGUACCGAAGCCACUUGGGAGUCCUGGAUGAGAUCGGAGACAUGACGAGGAGUCUCGAAAUGGUCGAGACGUAAAGAUCGAUAUAUUGGACGACUAUAUUCGAACAUCAGAAAGGUUCCGAGUGAUUUGGGUAUUUAUCGUUGUACCGGAGAUUUAAGGGAAUUCGUCGGGGAGAAGUAUUGGGCCUUAUUGGGCCAUACGGGAAAGAGAGAGGGGCUGCCUAGGUCGGGCCGUGCCCCCCCCCCCCCAAGGCCUAGUCCGAAUUGGACUAGGGGGAAGGGUUGCGCCCCCUCCUUCCUUCCCUUCUUUCUUCCCUUUCCUUGACUCCUACUCAUACUACAUGGAAGGGGGGGAUCCUACUCCCGGUGGGAGUAGGACUCCCCAGGGUGCGCCAUAGAGAGGGCCGGCCCCUCCCCUCCUCUCCUCCUUUAUAUACUGAGGCAAGGGGCACCCCAUAUACAUAACAAUUGAUCCUUGAGAUCUAUUAGCCGUGUGCGGUGCCCCCCUCCACCAUAUUCAAACUCGAUAAUAUCGUACUGGUGCUUAGGCGAAGCCCUGCGUUAGUAGAACAUCAUCAUCGUCAUCACACCGUCGUGCUGACGGAACUCUCCCUCGAAGCUCGGCUGGAUCAGAGUUCGAGGGAUGUCAUCGAGCUGAACGUGUGCUGAACUCGGAGGUGUCGUGCGUUCGGUACUUGAUCGGUCGGAUUGUGAAGACGUACGACUACAUCAACUAUGUUGUGCUAACGCUUCCGCUUACGGUCUACGAGGGUAUGUGGACAUACUCUCCCCUCUCGUUGCUAUGCAUCACCACGAUCUUGCGUGUACGUAGGAAAGUUUUUGACAUUACUACAUUCCCCAACAGUGGUAUCAGAGCCAGGUUAUAUGCAUAGAUGUUCUAUGCACGAGUAGAACACAAGUGAGUUGUGGGCGAUACAAGUCAUACUUCUUACCAGCAUGUUAUACUUUGGUUCGGUGGUAUUGUUGGAUGAAGUGGUCCAGACCGACAUUACGUGUACGCUUACGCGAGACUGGUUCUACCGAUGUGCUUUGCACAUAGGUGGCUGGCGGGUGUCAGUUUCUCCAACUUUAGUUGAACCGAGUGUGGCUACGCCCGGUCCUUGAGAAGGCUAAAACAGCACUAACUUGACGAACUAUCGGUAUGGUUUUGAUGCGUAGGUAAGAACGGUUCUUGCUCAGCCCGUAGCAGCCACGUAAAACUUGCAACAACAAAGUAGAGGACGUCUAACUUGUUUUUGCAGGGCAUGUUGUGAUGUGAUAUGGUCAAGACAUGAUGCUAUAUUUUAUUGUAUGAGAUGAUCAUGUUUUGUAACCGAGUUAUCGGCAACUUGCAGGAGCCAUAUGGUUGUCGCUUUAUUGCAUGCAAUGUUAUCGCCCUGUAAUUGCUUUACUUUAUCACUAAGCGGUAGCAAUAGUCGUAGCAGCAAUAGGUGGCGAAACGCAAUGAUGCUACGAUGGAGAUCAAGGUGUCACGCCGGUGAUGAUGGUGAUCAUGAAGGUGCUUUGGAGAUGAAGAUCACAAGCACAAGAUUAUGAUGGCCAUAUCAUAUCACUUAUAUUUAUUGCAUGUGAUGUCUAUCCUUUAUGCAUCUUAUUUUUCUUUGAUAGACGGUAGCAUUAUAAGAGGAUCUCUCACUAAAUUUCAAGGUAUAAGUGUUCUCCCUGAGUAUGCACCAUUGCGAAAGUUCUUCGUGCUGAGACACCACGUGAUGAUCGGGUGUGAUAGGCUCUACGUUCAAAUACAACGGGUGCAAAACAGUUGCACACGUGGAAUACUCAGGUUAAACUUGACGAGCCUAGCAUAUACAGAUAUGGCCUCGGAACACUAAAGCCGAAAGGUCGAGCGUGAAUCAUAUAGUAGAUAUGAUCAACAUAGUGAUGUUCACCAUUGAAAACUACUCCAUCUCACGUGAUGAUCGGACAUGGUUUAGUUUAUUUGGAUCACGUGAUCACUUAGAUGAUUAGAGGGAUGUCUAUCUAAGUGGGAGUUCUUAAGUAAUAUGAUUAAUUGAACUUUAAUUUAUCAUGAACUUAGUCCUGAUAGUAUUUUGCAAAUUAUGUUGUACAUCAAUAGCUCGCGUUGUUGCUUCCCUAUGUUUUUAUAUGUUCCUAGAGAAAACUAAGUUGAAAGAUGAUAGUAGCAAUGAUGCGGACUUGGUCCGUGAUCUGAGGUUUAUCCUCAUUGUUGCACAGAAGAAUUAUGUCCUUGAUGCACCACUAGGUGACAGGCCUAUUACAGGAGCAGAUGCAGACGUUAUGAACGUUUGGCUAGCUCAAUAUGAUGACUACUUGAUAGUUUUGUGCACCAUGCUUUAUGCUUAGAAAUGGGACUACAAAAAGGUUUUUGAAACGUCACGCAACAUAUGAGAUGUUCCAUGAGAUGAAAUUGGUAUUUCAGACUCAUGCCCGUGUCAAGAGGUAUGAAACCUCUGACAAAUACUUCGCCUAAAAGAUGGAGGAGAAUUGCUCAACUAGUGAGCAAGUGCUUAGAUUGUCUGAGUACUACAAUCGCUUGAAUCAACUGGGAGUUAAUCUUCCAGAUAAGAUAGUGAUUGGCAGAGUUCUCUAGUCACCAUCACCAAGUUACUGGAACUUUGUGAUGAACUAUAGUAUGCAAGGGAUGACGAAAACGAUUCCCGAGCUCUUUGUGAUGUUGAAAUCGACGAAGGUAGAAAUCAAGAAAAUAGCAUCAAGUGUUGAUGAUUGAUAAGACCACUAGUUUCAAGAAAAGGGCAAAGGAAAAGAAAGGGAACUUCAAGUAGAAUGGAAAGCAAGCUGUCACUCCCGUGAAGAAGCCCAAAGCUGGACCAAAGCCUGAAACUAAGUGCUUCUACUGCAAAGGAAAUGGUCACUGAAAGCGGAAAUGCCCUGAAUAUUUGGUGGAUAAGAAGCAUGGCAAAGUGAAAAAGGGUGUAUUUCAUAUACAGGUUAUUGAUGUGUACCUUACUAGUGUUUAUAGUAGCCCCUGAGUAUUUGAUACUUGUUCGGUUGCUAAGAUUAGUAACUCGAAAUAGGAGUUACAGAAUAAACAGAGACUAGUUGAGGGUGAAGUGAUUAUGUGUGUUGGAAGUGGUUCUGAGAUUGAUAUGAUCAUCAUCGCACACUCCCUAUACUUUCAAGAUUAUUGUUGAACCUAAAUAAAUGUUAUUUGGCGUUUGCGUUGAGCAUGAAUAUGAUUUGAUCAUGUUUAUUGCAAUACGGUUAUUCAUUUAAAGUCACAGAAUAAUUGUUGUUCUAUUUACAUGAAUAAAACCUUCGAUGGUCAUACAACUAAUGAAAAUAGUUUGUUGGAUCUCGAUCGUAGUGAUACACAUAUUCAUAAUAUUGAUGCCAAAAGAUGCAAAGUUAAUAAUGAUAGUGCAACUUAUUUAUGGCACUUCCGUUUGGGUCAUAUCAGUGUAAAGUGCAUGAAGAAACUCCAUAAAGAUGGACUUUUGGAAUCACUUGGUUAUGAAUCAUUUGAUGCUUGCGAACUGUGCCUUAUGGGCAAGAUGACUAAAACUCCGUUCUCCGAAACAAUGGAAUGAGCUACUGACUUAUUGGAAAUAAUACAUACUAAUGUAUGCGGUCCAAUGAGUGUUGAUGCUCGUGGCGGGUAUCGUUAUUUUCUGACCUUCACAGAUCAUUUGAGCAUAUAUGAGUAUAUCUUCUUAAUGAAACACAAGUCUGAAACAUUUGAAAAGUUCAAAGAAUUUUAGAGUGAAGUGGAGAAUCAUUGUAACAAGAAAAUAAAGUUUCUACGAUCUGAUCGUGGAGGAGAAUAUUUGAGUUACGAGUUUGGCCUUUGAGGGAGUUCCGGACUAGGGGGUGUCCGGAUAGCCGAACUAUCAUCAUCGGCCGGACUCCAAGACUAUGUAGAUACAAGAUUGAAGACUUCGUCCCGUGUCCGGAUGGGACUUUCCUUGGCGUGGAAGGCAAGCUUGGCGAUACGGAUAUGUAGAUUUCCUACCUUUGUAACCGACUCUGUGUAACCCUAGCCCUCUCCGGUGUCUAUAUAAACCGGAUGGUUGUAGUCCAUAGGACGAACAACAAUCAUACCAUAGGCUAGCUUCUAGGGUUUAGCCUCCUUGAUCUCGUGGUAGAUCCACUCUUGUAACACACAUCAUCAAUAUUAAUCAAGCAGGACAUAGGGUUUUACCUCCAUCAAGAGGGCCCGAACCUGGGUAAAACAUCGUGUCCCUCGUCUCCUGUUACCAUCCGCCUAGACGCACAGUUCGGGACCCCCUACCCGAGAUCCGCCGGUUUUGACACCGACAUUGGUGCUUUCAUUGAGAGUUCCUCUUUGUCGUCACUGAUAGGCUCGAUGGCUUCUUCGACCAUCAUCUACGACGCAGUCCAGGGCGAGACUUUUCUCCCCGGACAGAUCUUCGUAUUCGGCGGCUUUGCACUGCGGGCCAAUUCGCUUGGCCAACUGGAGCAGAUCGAAAGCUACGCCCCUGGCCGUCAGGUCAGAUUUGGAAGUUUGAACUUCACGGCUGACAUCCGCGGGGACUUGAUCCUCGAUGGAUUCGAGCCACAGCCGAGCGUGUCGCACUGUCGCGGCGAGCAUGAUUUAGCUCUGCAGCCGGACAGUACCCUGGAGGCCGCACUUGAAACCGCUCCGAUCUUCAAUUCGGAGCCAGCUGCGCAGAUCGAGGACGGAUGCCUAGACACCGCCUCGGGGGCUGCAACCUCUACAGCGAUAGAGCCGAACACUGACUUUGUCCCUCAUAAAGCUCAUGACUCCGAGGCGCCGGACUCCGAACCUCCCGCGCUCCCCCCGAUCGAAUCCGAUUGGGCGCCGAUCAUGGAAUUCACCGCAGCGGACAUCUUUCAACACUCACCUUUCGGCGACAUCUUGAGUUCGCUAAAGUAUCUCUCGUUAUCAGGAGAGCCCUGGCCGGACUGCGGUCAGAAAGGUUGGGACGCGGACGACGAAGAAAUUCAAAGCCCACCCACCACCCACUUGGUAGCCGCUGUCGACGAUCUAACCGACAUGCUAGACUACGACUCCGAAGACAUCGACGGUAUGGACGACGAUGCCGGAGACGACCAAGAACCAGCGCCUAACGGGCACUGGAAAGCCACCCCAGCUCACAACGUAUACAUGGUGGAUACACCAAAAGGAAGCGACAAUGAGGAAAAACGGGACGCGGCGAAGGACAACUCCCCCAACAAACAAACAAAGCGGUGACGCAAGCGCCGCCCGAAGACCGGCAUCGACAAAAACGGCACCCAUACGGACCCGGCCCUAGAGCAGGGCGAAGCAGUGGACAACGCACAUGUCAACAAGCAGCCAGCCGGACAUGAACUGGACAAGCAACCCAUCCCCGGCGAAGAUGAUCUCACAUCACCAGAGCAUAUGAAUCUUCAUAAAAGGCUCGUCGCCACUACAAGAAGUUUGAAGAAGCAAAAGCGGAAGCUCAAAACAGCGGAGGACGCACUCAGAAUGAGAUGGAGCAAAGUACUCAGCACCACAGAUAAAUAUGGCACUAGUCACCAGACAAAGAGCUACCGAAGCGAAAGCUGUUGCCCGAAUUUGACGAGGAGGCCUUAGAGCCCCCACAGUCAAAAAAGAAAGAAGCCUCCUGGCCGGAUAGACGACCAGAUGACAGGCCAAGAGCAUCAAGGGGCGCCGCACACAAGCCGGCACACGAUCAGCAUAAAGAUCCUCGGAAAAAGGAUAACCCGGCCAGGUCUAUCUAUGGGCCAAAAAAGAAGACUCCAGGAAGUAACACAACCAGCUGAGCAUUUGAAGACAACGGCACACCCAAAUACAGGGGCGCCGCACACCCACUAUGUUUUACCGACGAGGUACUAGAUCAUGGAUUUCCAGCGGGAUUCAAACCCGUAAACAUAGAGGCAUACGACGGAACAACAGACCCCGGAGUCUGGAUUGAGGAUUAUAUCCUACACAUACAUAUGGCAAGAGGAGACGAUCUCCAUGCCAUAAAAUACCUGCCCCUCAAGCUCAAAGGGCCGGCUCGGCAUUGGCUUAAAAGCCUCCCAGAAAAUACGAUUGGAAGUUGGGAAGAGCUUGAGGAUGCGUUUCGAGCGAAUUCUCAGGGGACUUAUGUCCGGCCUCCGGAUGCAGACGAUUUAAGUCACAUAACUCAACAGCCCGGGGAGUCAGCACGCAAAUUCUAGAACAGGUUCCUCACUAAAAAGAACCAAAUAGUCGACUGUCCGGACGCUGAAGCCUUAGCAGCCUUUAAACACAACGUCCGAGACGAAUGGCUCGGCAGACACCUCGGCCAGGAAAAACCAAGAAGAAUGGCCGCACUAACAAGCCUCAUGGCACGCUUUUGCACAGGGGAAGACAGCUGGCUGGCUAGAUGCAGCACUAGCGACCCGAGUACAUCCGAAAUUAGGGAUGGAAAUGGGAAAUCACGAUGCAGAAAAGAUCAGCGUCGGAAUAAGGAAAAUGGCCCAAAUAGUACGGCGGUCAACACCGGAUUCAAAAGCUCUUGGCCGAACAACAAAACACUGCCCCUCAAGGACAAUAGUGACGAGCUAUCCAACCUAAACAAGAUUCUGGACAGACUGUGCCAAAUACAUGGUACCUCCGGGAAGCCUGCAAACCAUACCCACAGAGAUUGUUGGGUCUUCAAGCAGUCCGGCCGACUUAAUGCCGAACACAAGGGGCUCGACACACCAAGUGAAAGUGACGAAACCCAAAAGCAGCGCUCCGGAAACCAAAAGACUUCCCCACUAGAAGUCAAAACAGUGAACUCACUUCAUGUGAUAACACACAGCGCGGCACCUGCUAUACCAGGACACCGUCCGCAGACUGGGGAUAGAACCCACCAAAAUUCACUAUAGCAGCACUUCCUUCAAAGGAGCGACACCAGGCCUUUUAAGCCAAUUUUACAGGCUCUGUACCACUAGAGGUCGUGUUCGGUUCAUCCGACAACCUCCGUCGCGAAAAGCUCACUCUCCAUCGCCCCAUUUAACAGUAGCUCUUAAGCACUACUGGGGCGCAAAACUUUCGCCUGCUUUAAUGCAAUACAACAUUACGCGUCUCUUACGCUUAGAAAUGCCCGGUCCACGUGGCAUAAUCUCACAACUCUGAGUGUCCCUCGACCACAGAGAAUGUGCGACUGCUUCGACAGCCACACAUUAAUCAGACCUUGCAGGUCAAAGUCCCUGAAAAACAGGUCAUUUAGACCUCGGACAUGGUUAGACAAGUCCGGCGUAAGCUAACAAGGGGAUUCCCAGCCGCAUACCCCCUUUUUUUAGGGGGGCGCACGCAUAAAUGAUGAAAGCCAGUAAAGCUCAACUUUCUUCAUCUUCCAAACUAUACUUUAUUUUAAUACAAUUUUUGCACGAUAUUUCUUAGAAACUAAGUCCUUCUCUUUUACAGAUGAAGCACGUGCUACACCCGUCCAGGAUACAGCACAACAGAGACACAGGCGCAGACGUGCAGUAGGGACCCGUUGCAAGGAUUCUUUUCAGAUUAAGACCCUGCGUAAACCUUUCUUACUGUCUCUAGUUGAUACACAUCCCCCGGUUUCCUACCAGAGCCGAGGAGGAGGCUGGCGUUUUGGCAUCGUCCGCGUUAGAAGUUCCCGCCUGUACCUGGACACUAGGGGCUUAGGGCUUUGUUCGGCCCAAUAUCAUAAAGACCGAACACCUCAGGGAGUGUUCGGCGUCUCGAGUUAGGCCUUAUAUGCAUCAGCUCCAAAUCAUGUCUUUGGUCAAAUGUUGGGUUUGCCCGGCUCCUGUGUUUUGCUGCCUUACGUUCCGUAUCAUCGGCUAACGCGGCACCAGGAGAACUACUGCGAUUGUGCCCCGGUUCGGCCGGGAGAGCACCUCAGUAGAGAAAGCCAAAAACUGACUAUCAUGAUAUAGCGAGAGACUGGUCAACCACUCGAUCGACCAUUGGAAUGUUUAGAAUUCCUCCGCUUUGACGAAGGACCACUUCCCGGUCAGGCGCAUACGCGCCCCGAGUUCGGAGAAGCGCGAUGCCAUCAGGGGCUAUAUAGUAGCCCCACAUUCGAGCUCCUAUGGCUAAGUGAAAGUGAUAAAGCAUUAUAGUCCGGUUGCCUAGUUUGCUACGCUAUCACCUCCUUAAAAGGACCAAGACGUUGGAUUAAGUGUGAAAAAGCGAUUUUCUUUUUGCAAACACCCCCGCACCAUGUGCGUGGGGGCUGAAGCCAAAGACUGCCAUCUUUCAGAUUAUACAUAUAUAUACGGCCGCGCAGGAGAUAGUUCAAUACUUGAACACACAAGUAUAAAAAGUCAUUGCAUUAUAAACAUGAUCUUAGAAAUCAUACAUGUCAUUCAAACAUAACAUCUUUCGAGCACUGCGACUCUAUUAUACGAGCGCCCUGCAGGACUUCCUCAAAGUAAUGCUCGGUGGGGAAUCGGCUUUUGACCGAAUCCCGGGAUGCAACAGCGGUGGCAUCCAUCUCCGCCUAGUAUGUUUUACCACGGGCGAGAGCCAUCCGUGCACCUUCUAUGCAUGCCGACCGCUUCAUCGCCUUAAUAUGCGGCACUGCCCCAAGGAAUUGCUGCAACAAGCCAAAAUAACUCUUCGGCUUGGGCCUUUUCGGCCACAGAUGAGUGACCACAUCCGUCAUGGCCAGGCCGGACAAUCUAUUCAGCUCAGCCCACUCAACCAGCCGAUCACUUAACGGGAGUGGACGCUCCGGACUAUGAAAUUGAGACCAGAAAAGCUCUUCCAUUUCAUGAUCCUCCUGGCUUUGAAAGUGCAUGACUGCGUCAGCCGCACUCGCCGCCAAGUCUAGAUAAGGAUCCUCCGCACCAUACAAUCGGCCCAGCUGAGCAUACUUCGGAUCCGUGAACUUCCUACGCAGCAUAAAGGGCUUUUCAGCCACAAUGUCUCCGACCUGACGCAGUUCCUCCUUCAUAGCCCACAUCACACUACGGGCAUCCUUGGCUUCGGCAUCGGCCUUCUUCAGGUCCUCUUGCUCCGCUCGGUGUUCUCCUUCAAGAACCUCCAGGCGGUCGGUAGCAACUUUUAAUUUCAUGGCCAUUCCGGCCAUCUCCUCCCUGCUUUGGCAGUGAGCAGCCUUCUCGGCUUCUAGCUCUUCCGCUGCCUUCAAGGCAGCCGCCUCACUUUUUCUGGCUUGCUCCUUGGCCCGAGAAAGUUCUGCUCGAAGGUCUUCCACAGCAGCAGCACCAUCUGCAUCAAGCAUACAACUUGUAAGGAAUGGGCAUUAGCUCCCUUACUAAGCGACCGCGGCGCAAUCACAUACCUUGUGACUCAUCAAGUCAUUUAUUGACCAGCGAGAUGUCCGCAUCUGAAGCGUCGAGUUGCUUCUUCAGCUCGGCGAAUCCAUUAGUCCGGCUGGCCACCGAACAUUCCGCCACCUACAUAGGAAAAGCGACAGUUAAUAACUGAGAUUAUGAUCCUAGGCACGCUGCCGUUUUCGACAGCAUACCAAGUCUCAGGGGCUACUAUCUAUACAGGGCGCACUUCAUGUGCAAAACUGUCAACAGGUAUGUCAUUUUUUGCGUACCUCAAAUCCCGUCAGUAAACUUCCGACGGCCUCAUACAACCCGCUUUCGGCGGACGGGAUCCUCUCAAUCACAUUACCCAUUAAUGUGCGGUGAUCUUCUGAGAUGGAUGCCCUCUUAAGCAAAUCCUGCAGCUCCACCGGCCGUACUCCAAUGGGUGCCGAACUCUCCGGCCCCGCCGGACUCGGGGAGACCCUCCGCGACGACACCUCAGGGUCGUCCGCCCCGCGCGAUGGGGCGGCAGAUGGAGGCGUUUCGCUCUCCAUCAUCUCCGGACGAAGGUCUCCCGAAGAUGAGCUGUGCUGAGAUGGGCUGAGAUCCGAACUACAAGGUAAAAACUUUAGUUACCUUUAGACAUUAAGCAAGGGUGUAUAAUAAUUAUAAAAUUCCCCUUUUUACUUACGGCUCGUUAGAGGGCUGAUUCCUCCGAGGAGACAGUACGGCCGGGGCUCUUCUCGACGCAGGACCUUCCGGUACAGAUUUCUUUCCCCGCUUUGAGGCCUUGGCCUCCGGGUCUUCGGAAGCGGUCCUAUUCUCCCCCUGGAAGGAGGGACUCUCGAUUCCUCCCUUACUAAAAACCUCCUUGGCAGAGGUGACAGUUUCCCCGUGCCCCCCUUCGCCCUCAUUCGAAGGUGCAACCUCCAACAUUUUGAUUAACACGGGAUCCUGCGUGGUCUCAGGGAGGGGGCCAGACACCGUAUCAGUUUUGCUUGCGCUAUCCACUCCUGUCCAGGGAUAGCUGGUUAAAAGGCAAGUUCACGAUAAAUAAUGGACGGUGUGUCCGGACACAGGGCUACUCACUUGAGUAUCCGGGCAAUUGCAGCUUAGGCCAGCGUCCUCGGUCAAUUCCGGAUGCGUCUCUUGCGAUCCGAAGAACAGUUUAUACAUCUCCAUGGGUGUCAAACCCAUGAAGUGUUGAAGAGCUCGUGGCCCCUCCGGAUUAAAUUCCCACAGGCGGAGGGGGCGACGUUUGCAGGGCAGUAGGUGCCGAAUCAACAUGACCUGUACCACUGCGACCAGAUUGAUCUCCCUUUCUUGGAGGCCUCGAAUCCGGUCCUGCAACAGGGGGACGUCUUUGGGCGGCCCCCAGUCACGCCCCUUGUUGACCCAUGACGUCAGCUGCUGUGGAGGGCCCGAGCGAAAGACGGGCGGCGGCUUCUGCCUGCUGCCCCAGGGAGUGGUGAUAUAGAACCACUCCUGUUGCCACAAGCCGAGCUCCUCCUGGAAAGAGCCCUUGGGCCAUGGAGCUUCGGCCCUCUUGCUUAUAACCGCCCCACCGCACUCUACCUGACGCCCCUCAAUCAUCUUCGGCUCCACGUUGAAGGUUUUGAGCCACAAGCCGAAGUGAGGGGUAGUGCGGAAGAAGGCUUCGCAGACGACAAUGAAUGAUGAGAUAUGGAGGAUGGACUCCGGAGCCAAGUCGUGGAAUUCCAGCCCAUAGUAAAACAUGAGCCCCCUCACGAAGGGAUCCGUCGGGAAGCCUAAGCCCCGAUGGAGGUGAGACAUGAACAUGACGCUCUCGCCAGGCUCGGGAGUUGGGAUAACUUGCCCUCGGGCAGGCAGCCUAUGCGAAAUCUCAUAGGUUAAGUACCUGGCGUCUCUCAGCUUUAGCACGUCCUCUUCCGUGACGGAGGAAGGCAUCCACCGGCCUCGUAGGUUAGGACCGGACAUUGUCGAAGAUCGAAGGUACCCGAAUUUGGAGCCCUGGGUGUUGGAACUCGGGGAGAGGGGCGGAUUCGAUAGAGGAUUGAAUAAAAAGAACGGGCCUUGGUCUCAUUAUAAAGAGGAAGAAUACCAAGAGCCGUCCCCGUGACCGUUUGGAACCCGCCUUCGAUGGAGGGGGUGUGGCGACGGGCGCGGUUGGGUUACCCAUGUCCGUAUUGAUGGGAAUCCCGGAAUAAGGGGAACACGAUCUCUGCUUCGACAAGACGUGCCAAGGAAACCGCUUCGCUAAACGCGCGGAGGUGGAGCAAUAAAAACAAUUUGAGUAAAGGCUUGGAAGUGGUGUGACGUCACGCCGCAGAAUACGUCAGUAGAUUGGUCUUGUGUAAUAUUAUUCUCUCUACGGUGGUACAUGGAAUUUAUUUUUGCAGAGCCGGACACUAUCCUGGUGUUCACGAUCUUCUAUAAAUUAUUCGGAGGAGGAACCCGCCUUGCAAUGCCGAAGACAAUAUGCGCGCCGGACUCGUCGUCAUUUAAGCCUGGUUCAGGGGCUACUGAGGGAGAUCCAGACUAGGGGGUGUCCGGGUAGCCGAACUAUCAUCAUCGGCCGGACUCCAAGACUAUGUAGAUACAAGAUUGAAGACUUCGUCCCGUGUCCGGAUGGGACUUUCCUUGGCGUGGAAGGCAAGCUUUGUGAUACGGAUAUGUAGAUUUCCUACCUUUGUAACCGACUCUGUGUAACCCUAGCCUUCUCCGGUGUCUAUAUAAACCGGAUGGCUGUAGUCCAUAGGACGAACAACAAUCAUACCAUAGGCUAGCUUCUAGGGUUUAGCCUCCUUGAUCUCGUGGUAGAUCCACUCUUGUAACACACAUCAUCAAUAUUAAUCAAGCAGGACGUAGGGUUUUACCUCCAUCAAGAGGGCCCGAACCUGGGUAAAACAUCGUGUCCCUCGUCUCCUGUUACCAUCCGCCUAGACGCACAGUUCGGGACCCCCUACCCGAGAUCCGCCGGUUUUGACACCGACAGCCUUCAUAUAAACCAAUAUGGAAUAGUUUCACAGUUCACACCACCUGGAACACCACAGCGUUAUGGUGUGUCCGAACGUCGUAACCGCACUUUAUUGGAUAUUGUGUGAUCUAUGAUGUAUCUUACCGAUUUACCCUUAUCGUUUUGGGGUUAUGCAUUAGAGACAGUUGCAGUCACGUUUAAAUAGGGCACCAUCGAAAUCCGUUGAGAUGACGCCUUAUGAACUGUGGUUUGGCAAGAAACCAAAGUUGUCGUUUCUUAAAAGUUUGGGGCUACGAUGCUUAUAUGAAAAGUUUCAACCUAAUAAGCUCAAACCCAAAUCGGAGAAGUGCGUCUUCAUAGGAUACCCAAAAGGAAACUAUUGGGUACACCUUCUAUCACAGAUCCGAAGGCAAGAUUUUCAUUGCUAAGAAUGGAUCCUUUCUAGAGAAGGAGUUUCUCUCAAAAAAAGUGAGUGGGAGGAAAGUAGAACUUGAUGAGGUAAUUAUACCUUCUCCCGAAUUGGAAAGUAGUUCAUCACAGAAAUUGGUUCCAGUGAUUCCUGCACCAAUUAGUGAGGAAGCUAAUGAUGAUGAUCAUGAAACUUCAGAUCAAAUUACUACCGAACCUCGUAGGUCUUCCAGAGUAUGGUCCGCACCAAAGUGGUACGGUAAUCCUAUUCUGGAAAUCAUGUUACUAGACCAUGAUGAACCUACGAGCUAUGAGGAAGCGAUGAUGAGCCCAGAUUCCGUGAAAUGGCUUGAAGCCAUGAAAUCUGAGAUAGGAUCCAUGUAUGAGAACAAAUGUGGACUUUGAUUGACUUGCCCGAUGAUCGGUAAGCCAUCGAGAAUAAAUGGAUCUUCAAGAGGAAGACGGACACUGGUAGUAGUGUUACUAUCUACAAAGCUUGACUUGUUGCGAAAGGUUUUCGACAAGUUCAAGGUGUUGAAUAUGAUGAGAUUUUCUCACUCGUAGCGAUGCUUAAGUCUGUCCGAAUCAUGUUAGCAAUUGCCACAUUUUAUGAAAUCUGGCAAAUGGAUGUCAAAACUGCAUUCCUUAAUGGAUUUAUUAAAGAAGGGUUGUAUAUGAUGCAACCAAAAUGUUUUGUCGAUCCGAAAGGUGCUAACGAAGUGUGCAAGCUCCAGCGAUCCAUUUAUGGACUAGUGCAAGCCUCUCAGAGUUGGAUUAAACGCUUUGAUAGUGUGAUCAAAGCAUAUGGUUUUAUACAGACUUCUGGAGAAGUCUGUAUUUACAAGAAAGUGAGUGGGAGCUCUCUAGCAUUUCUGAUAUUAUAUGUGGACAACAUAUUGUUGAUUGGAAAUGAUAUAGAAUUUCUGGAUAGCAUAAAAGGAUACUUGAAUAAAAGUUUUUCAAUGAAAGACCUCGAUGAAGCUGCUUACAUAUUGAGCAUCAAGAUCUAUAUAGAUCGAUCAAGACGCUUGAUAAGUUUUUUCAAUGAGUACAUACCUUGACAAGAUUUUGAAGUAGUUCAAAAUAGAAUAGUCAAAGAAAGAGUUCUUGUGUGUGUUACAAGGUGUUAAAUUGAGUAAGACUCAAAGCCCGACCAUGGCAGAAGAUAGAAAUGAAAGUCAUUCCCUAUGCCUUAGUCAUAGGUUCUAUACAGUAUGUUAUGCUAUGUACCAGACCUAUUGUAUACCUUGCUCUGAGUUUGGCAAGGGAGUACCAUUUUGAUCUAGGAGUAGAUCACUCGACAGCGGUCAAGAAUAUCGUUAGUAAGGACUAAGGAAAUGUUUCUCGAUUAUGGAGAUGAUAAAAUAAUUCAUCGUAAAGAGUUACAUCGGUGCAAGCUUUUACACCGAUCCAGAUGACUCUAAAGUGUCAAUCUGGAUACAUAUUGAAAGUGGGAGCAAUUAGCUAGAGUAGCUCCGUGCAGAGCAUUGUAGACAUAGAAUAUUUGCAAAAUACAUACGGCUCUGAAUGUGACAGACCCGUUGACUAAACUUCACUCACGAGCAAAACAUGAUCAUACCUUAGUACUCUUUGGGUGUUAAUCACAUAGCGAUGUGAACUAGAUUAUUGACUCUAGUAAACCCUUCAGGUGUUAAUCACAUACAGAUGUGAAUAUUGGUGUUAAAUCACAUGAUGAUGUGAACUAGAUUAUUGACUCUAGUGCAAGUGGGAGACUGAGGGAAAUAUGCCCUAGAGGCAAUAAUAAAGUUAUUAUUAUUUCCUUAUAUCAUGAUAAAUGUUUAUUAUUCAUGCUAGAAUUGUAUUAACCGGAAACAUGAUACAUGUGUGAAUACAUAGACAAACUGAGUGUCACUAGUAUGCCUCUACUUGACUAGCUCGUUAAUCAAAGAUGGUUAUGUUUCCUAGCCAUGGAAAAAGAGUUGUCAUUUGAUUAACGGGAUCACAUCAUUAGGAGAAUGAUGUGAUUGACUUGACCCAUUCCGUUAGCUUAGCACUUGAUCGUUUAGUAUGUUGAUAUUGCUUUCUUCAUGACUUAUACAUGUGCCUACGACUAUGAGAUUAUGCAACUCACAUUUAUCGGAGGAACACUUUGUGUGCUACCAAACGUCACAACAUAACUGGAUGAUUAUAAAGGUGCUCUACAGGUGUCUCCGAAAGUACUUGUUGGGUUGGCGUAUUUCGAGAUUAGGAUUUGUCACCCCGAUUGUCGGAGAGGUAUCUCUAGGCCCUCUCAGUAAUGCACAUCACUAUAAGCCUUGCAAGCAAUGUGACUAAUGAGUUAGUUGCGGGAUGAUGCAUUACAUAACGAGUAAAGAGACUUGCCAGUAACGAGAUUGAACUAGGUAUUGAGAUACCGACGAUCGAAUCUCGGGCAAGUAACAUACCGAUGAUAAAGUGAACAACGUAUGUUGUUAUGCGGUUUGACCGAUAAAGAUCUUCGUAGAAUAUGUAGGAGCCAAUAUGAGCAUCCAGGUUCCGCUAUUGGUUAUUGACCGGAGAUGAGUCUCGGUCAUGUCUACAUAGUUCUCGGACCCGUAGGGUCCGCACGCUUAACGUUCUAUGAUGAUUUAUAUUAUGAGUUAUGUGUUUUGAUGUACCGAAGGCACUUCGGAGUCCUGAAUGAGAUCGGGGACAUGACGAGGAGUCUCGAAAUGGUCAAGGCAUAAAGAUCGAUAUAUUGGACGACUAUAUUCGGACAUCGGAAAGGUUCCGAAUGAUUCGGUUAUUUAUCGGAGUACCGGAGAGUUACGAGAAUUCGCCGGGGAGAAGUAUUGGGCCUUAUUGGGCCAUAAGGGAAAGAGAGAGGGGCUGCCUAGGUCAGCCCCCCCCCCAAGGCCUAGUCCGAAUUGGACUAGGGGGAGGGGCUGCGCCCCCCUCCUUCCUUCCCUUAUUUCUUCCCUUUCCUUAACUCCUACUCCUACUACAUGGAAGGGGGGAAUCCUACUCCCGAUGGGAGUAGGACUCCCCAAGGCGCGCCAUAGAGAGGGCCGGCCCCUCCCCUCCUCUCCUCCUUUAUAUACUGAGGCAAGGGGCACCUCAUAGACAUAACAAUUGAUCCUUGAGAUCUAUUAGCCGUGUGCGGUGCCCCCCUUCACCAUAUUCCACCUCGAUAAUAUCGUAGCGGUGCUUAGGCGAAGCCCUGCGUCGGUAGAACAUCAUCAUCGUCACCAUGACGUCGUGCUGACGGAACUCUCCCUCGAAGCUCGGCUAGAUCGGAGUUCGAGGGACGUCAUCGAGCUGAACGUGUGCUGAACUCGGAGGUGCCGUGCAUUCGGUACUUGAUUGGUCGGAUCAUGAAGACGUACGACUACAUCAACCGUGUUGUGCUAACGCUUCCGCUUACGGUCUACGAGGGUACGUGGACAUACUCUCCCCUCUCGUUGCUAUGCAUCACCAUUAUCUUGCGUGUACGUAGGAAAUUUUUUGAGAUUACUACGUUCCCCAACAGUGGUAUCAAAGCCUAGUUUUAUGCAUAGAUGUUAUAUGCACGAGUAGAACACAAGUGAGUUGUGGGCGAUACAAGUCAUACUGCUUACCAGCAUGUCAUACUUUGGUUCGACGGUAUUGUUGGAUGAAGCGGCCCGGACCGACAUUACAUGUACGCUUACGCGAGACUGGUUCUACCGACGUGCUUUGCACAUAUGUGGCUGGCGGGUGUCAGUUUCUCCAACUUUAGUUGAACCGAGUGUGGCUACACCCGGUCCUGGAGAAGGUUAAAACAGCACUAACUUGACUAACGGUUCUUGCUCAGCCCGUAGCAGCCACGUAAAACUUGCAACAACAAAUUAGAGGACGUCUAACUUGUUUUUGCAGGGCAUGUUGUGAUGUGAUAUGGUCUAGACGUGAUGCUAUAUUUUAUUGUAUGAGAUGAUCUUGUUUUUAACCGAGUUAUCGGCAACUGGCAGGAGCCAUAUGGUUGUCGCUUCAUUGUAUGCAAUGCUAUCACCCUGUAAAUGCUUUACUUUAUCACUAAGCGGUAGCGAUAGUCGUAAAAGCAAUAGGUGGCAAAACGACAACGAUACUACGAUGGAGAUCAAGGUGUCGCGCUAGUGACGAUGGUGAUCAUGACGGUGCUUCGGAGAUGAAGAUCACAAGCACAAGAUGAUGAUAGCCAUAUCCUAUCACUUAUAUUGAUUGCAUGUGAUGUUUAUCCUUUAUGCAUCUUAUUUUGCUUUGAUUGACGGUAGCAUUAUAAGAUGAUCUCUCACUAAAUUUCAAGGUAUAAGUGUUCUCCCUGAGUAUGCACCGUUGCAAAAUUUCUUCGUGCUGAGACACCAUGUGAUGAUCGGGUGUGAUAGGCUCUACGUUCAAAUACAACGGGUGCAAAACAGUUGCACAUGCGGAAUACUCAGGUUAAACUUGACGAGCCUAGCAUAAACAGAUAUGGCCUCGGAACACUGAGACCGAAAGGUCGAGUGUGAAUCAUAUAGUAGAUAUGAUCAACAUAGUGAUGUUCACCAUUGAAACCUACUCCAUCUCUCGUGAUGAUUGGACAUGGUUUAGUUGAUUUGGAUCACCUGAUCACUUAGAUGAUUAGAGGGAUGUCUAUCUAAGUGGGAGUUCUUAAGUAAUAUGAUUAAUUGAACUUUAAUUUAUCAUGAACUUAGUCCUGAUAGUAUUUUGCAAAUUAUGUUGUAGAUGAAUAGCUCAUGUUGUUGCUUCCCUAUGUUUUUAUAAGUUCCUAGAGAAAACUAAGUUGACAGAUUAUAGUAGCAAUGAUGCGGACUUGGUCCGUGAUCUGAGGUUUAUCCUCAUUGCUGCACAGAAGAAUUACGUCCUUAAUGCACCAUUAGGUGACAGACCUAUUGCAGGAGCAGAUGCAAACGUUAUGAACGUUUGGCUAGCUAAAUAUGAUAACUACUUGAUAGUUUUGUGCAACAUGCUUUAUGUCUUAGAACCAGGACUACAAAAAUGUUUUUGAAACGUCAUGGAACAUAUGAGAUGUUCCAUGAGAUGAAAUUGGUAUUUCAGACUCAUGCCCGUGUCAAGAGGUAUAAGACCUCUAACAAAUACUUCGCCUAAAAGAUGGAGGAGAAUUGCUCAACUAGUGAGCAAGUGCUUAGAUUGUCUGAGUACUACAAUCGCUUGAAUCAAGUGGGUGUUAAUCUUCCUGAUAAGAUAGUGAUUGGCAGAGUUCUCUAGUCAUCAACACCAAGUUACUGGAACUUCAUGAUGAACUAUAGUAUGCAAGGAAUGACGAAAAUGAUUCCCGAGCUCUUCGUGAUGCUGAAAUCGACGAAGGUAGAAAUCAAGAAAAGAGCAUCAAGUGUUGAUGAUUGAUAAGACCACUAGUUUCAAGAAAAGGGCAAAGGAAAAGAAAGGGAACUUCAAGUAGAAUGGCAAGCAAGUUGUCACUCCCGUGAAGAAGCCCAAAGCUGGACCAAAGCCCGAAACAGUGCUUCUACUGCAAAGGAAAUGGUCACUGGAAGCGAAAAUGCCCUGAAUAUUUGGUGGAUAAGAAGGAUGGCAAAGGGAACAAGGGUAUAUUUGAUAUACAGGUUAUUGAUGUGUACCUUACUAGUGUUUAUAGUAGCCCUUGAGUAUUUCAUACUUGUUCGGUUGCUAUGAUUAGUAACUCGAAACAAGAGUUACAGAAUAAACAGAGACUAGUUGAGGGUGAAGUGACGAUGUGUGUUGGAAGUGGUUCCAAGAUUGAUAUGAUCAUCAUCGCACACUCCCUAUACUUUCGAGAUUAGUUUUGAACCUAAAUUAAUGUUAUUUGGCAUUUGCGUUGAGCGUGAAUAUGAUUUGAUCAUGUUUAUUGCAAUACGUUUAUUCUUUUAAAGUCAGAGAAUAAUUGUUAUUCUGUUUACAUGAAUAAAACCUUUGAUGUUCAUACACCCAAUGAAAAUUGUUUGUUGGAUCUCGAUCGUAGUGAUACACAUAUUCAUAAUAUUGAUGCCAAAAGAUGCAAAGUUGAUAAUGAUAGUGCAACUUAUUUGUGGCACUGUCGUUUGGGUCAUAUCAGUGUAAAGCGCAUGAAGAAACACCAUAAAGAUGGACUUUUGGAAUCACUUGGUUAUGAAUCAUUUGAUGCUUGUGAACCGUGCCUUAUGGGUAAGAUGACUAAAACUCCAUUCUCCGGAACAAUGGAACGAGCUGCUGACUUAUUGGAAAUAAUACAUACCGAUGUAUGCGGUCCAAUGAGUGUUGAUGCUCGUGGCGGGUAUCAUUAUUUUCUGACCUUCACGGAUGAUUUGAGAAGAUAUGAGUAUAUCUUCUUAAUGAAGCACAAGUUUGAAACAUUUGAAAAGUUCAAAGAAUUUCAGAGUGAAGUGGAGAAUCAUCAUAACAAGAAAAUAAAGUUUCUACGAUCUGAUCGUGGAGGAGAAUAUUUGAGUUACGAGUUUGGCCUUCAUAUAAACCAAUGUGGAAUAGUUUCACAGUUCACACCACUGGAACACCACAGUGUUAUGGUGUGUCCGAACGUCGUAACCGCACUUUAUUGGAUAUUGUGCGAUCUAUGAUGUAUCUUACCAAUUUACCACUAUCGUUUUGGGGUUAUACAUUAGAGAUAGUUGCAUUCACGUUUAAAUAGGGCACCAUCGAAAUCCAUUGAGAUGACGCCUUAUGAACUGUGGUUUGGCAAGAAACCAAAGUUGUCGUUUCUUAAAAGUUUGGGGCUACGAUGCUUAUAUGAAAAAGUUUCAACCUGAUAAGCUCGAACCCAAAUCGGAGAAGUGUGUCUUCAUAGGAUACCCAAAAGGAAACUAUUGGGUACACCUUCUAUCACAGAUCCGAAGGCAAGAUAUCCAUUGCUAAGAAUGGAUCCUUUCUAGAGAAGGAGUUUCUCUCGAAAGAAGUGAGUGGGAGGAUAGUAGAACUUGAUGAGGUAAUUGUACCUUCUCCUGAAUUGGGAAGUAGUUCAUCACAGAAAUCAGUUCCAGUGAUUCCUACACCAAUUAGUGAGGAAGCUAAUGAUGAUGAUCAUGAAACUUCAGAUCAAAUUACUACCGAACCUCGUAGGUCUUCCAGAGUAUGGUCCGCACCAAAGUGGUACGGUAAUCCUAUUCUGGAAAUCAUGUUACUAGACCAUGAUGAACCUACGAGCUAUGAGGAAGCGAUGAUGAGCCCAGAUUCCGUGAAAUGGCUUGAAGCCAUGAAAUCUGAGAUAGGAUCCAUGUAUGAGAACAAAUGUGGACUUUGAUUGACUUGCCCGAUGAUCGGUAAGCCAUCGAGAAUAAAUGGAUCUUCAAGAGGAAGAAGAACACUGAUAGUAGUGUUACUAUCUACAAAGCUCAACUUGUUGCGAAAGGUUUUCGACAAGUUCAAGGUGUUGAAUACGAUGAGAUUUUCUCACUCGUAGCGAUGCUUAAGUCUGUCCGAAUCAUGUUAGCAAUUGCCACAUUUUAUGAAAUCUGGCAAAUGGAUGUCAAAACUGCAUUCCUUAAUGGAUUUAUUAAAGAAGAGUUGUAUAUGAUGCAACCAAAAGGUUUUGUCGAUCCGAAAGGUGCUAACAAAGUGUGCAAGAUCCAGCGAUCCAUUUAUGGAGCAAGCCUCUCGGAGUUGGAAUAAACGCUUUGAUAGUGUGAUCAAAGCAUAUGGUUUUAUACAGACUUUUGGAGAAGCCUAUAUUUACAAGAAAGUGAGUGGGAGCUCUCUAGCAUUUCUGAUAUUAUAUGUCGAUGACAUAUUGUUGAUUGGAAAUGAUAUAGAACUUCUGGAUAGCAUAAAAGGAUACUUGAAUAAAAGUUUUUCAAUGAAAGACCUCGGUGAAGCUGCAUACAUAUUGAGCAUCAAGAUCUAUAUAGAUAGAUCAAGACGCUUGAUAAGUUUUUUCAAUGAGUACAUACCUUGACAAGAUUUUGAAGUAGUUCAAAAUAGAACAGUCAAAGAAAGAGUCCUUGCCUGUGUUACAAGGUGUGAAAUUGAGUAAGACUCGAAGCCCGACCACGGCAGAAGAUAGAAAUGAAAGUCAUUCCCUAUGCCUCAUUCAUAGGUUCUAUAAAGUAUGAUAUGCUGUGUACCAGACCUAUUGUAUACCUUGCUAUGAGUUUGGCAAGGGAGUACAAUUUUGAUCUAGGAGUAGAUCACUGGACAACGGUCAAGAAUAUCCUUAGUAAGGACUAAGGAAAUGUUUCUCGAUUAUGGAGGUGAUAAAAGAAUUCGUCGUAAAGAGUUACAUCGGUGCAAGCUUUUACACCGAUCCAGAUGACUCUAAAGUCUCAAUCUGGAUACAUAUUGAAAGUGGGAGCAAUUAGCUAGAGUAGCUCCGUGCAGAGCAUUGUAGGCAUAGAAUAUUUGCAAAAUACAUACGGCUCUGAAUGUGAUAGAUCCGUUGACUAAACUUCUCUCACGAGAAAAACAUGAUCAUACCUUAGUACUCUUUGGGUGUUAAUCACAUAGUGAUGUGAACUAGAUUAUUGACUCUAGUAAACCCUUCGGGUCUUAAUCACAUACAGAUGUGAAUAUUGGUGUUAAAUCACAUGAUGAUGUGAACUAGAUUAUUGACUCUAGUGCAAGUGGAAGACUGAAGGAAAUAUACCCUAGAGGCAAUAAUAAAGUUAUUAUUUAUUUCCUUAUAUCAUGAUAAAUGUUUAUUAUUCAUGCUAGAAUUGUGUUAACCGGAAACAUGAUACAUGUGUGAAUACAUAGACAAACUGAGUGCCACUAGUAUGCCUCUACUUGACUAGCUCGUUAAUCAAAGAUGGUUAUGUUUCCUAGCCAUGGACAAAGAGUUGUCAUUUGAUUAACGAGAUCACAUCAUUAGGAUAAUGAUGUGAUUGACUUGACCCAUUCCGUUAGCUUAGCACUUGAUCGUUUAGUAUGUUGCUAUUGCUUUCUUCAUGACUUAUACAUGUUCCUGUGACUAUGAGAUUAUGCAACUCACGUUUACCGGAGGAACACUUUGUGUGCUACCAAACAUCACAACGUAACUGGAUGAUUAUAAAGGUGCUCUACAUGUGUAUCCGAAGGUACUUGUUGGGUUGGCGUAUUUCGAGAUUAGGAUUUAUCACCCCGAUUGUCAAUGAGGUAUCUCUGGGCGCUCUCGGUAAUGCACAUCACUAUAAGCCUUGCAAGCAAUGUGACUAAUGAGUUAGUUGCGGGAUGAUGCAUUACAUAACGAGUAAAGAGAUUUGCCGGUAACAAGAUUGAACUAGGAAAUUGAGAUACCGACGAUUGAAUCUCGGGCAAGUAACAUACCGAUGACAAAGGGAACAACGUAUGUUGUUAUGCGGUUUGACUGAUAAAAAUCUUCGUUAAAUAUGUAGGAGCCAAUAUGAGCAUCCAGGUUCCAUUAUUGGUUAUCGACCGGAGAUGAGUCUCGGUCAUGUCUACAUAGUUCUCGAACCCGUAGGGUCCGCACGCUUAACGUUCUAUUGCGAUUUAUAUUAUGAGUUAUGUGUUUUGAUGUACCGAAGGCAGUUAGGAGUCCCGGAUGAGAUCGGGGACAUGACGAGGAGUCUCCAAAUGGUUGAGACGUAAAGAUCGAUAUAUUGGAUGACUAUAUUCGGACAUCGGAAAGGUUCCAAGUGAUUUGGGUAUUUAUCGGAGUACCGGAGAGUUACGGGAAUUCGCCGGGGAGAAGUAUUGGGCCUUAUUGGGCCAUAUGGGAAAGAGAGAGGGGCUGCCUAGGUCAGCCCCCCCCCCCCAAGGCCUAGUCCGAAUUGGACUAGGGGGAGGGUGUAAGGGCAUAUUUAUUCCCAAUAUGUUUUGGUGAUUGAUGACAAUACUUGUGCGGACUAAUCGUGUGCGUUUAGUUCUUUCAGAGAUGCAUCCAUUGGCACGAGACGAUUUCCUCCCCUCGGUGUUGUAAUUCAAGACGGUGUAGCUCCUUCGUUUCGUUGUUGGUGGACUAGUUUCGUAGAAGUCACCGUACUACCAAGAGGGGAUCCGUUUUGGUAAGACUUGGGUGGAAUCACACGUACACAUCCUUAUCACACCCGUCGUCUUUCCUUUCGCAUCUCUGGAGCUGCCGUUUUCCCCUUACUAUGCUCUGCUCUGCCCUAGCGGUAGUACCGCGUCCACAGAGGUAGUACCGCCGAAACUCCACAGCGGUAGUACCGCUCUUAGAGCGGUAGUACCGCUUGGGUUUUUCGGCCGUAGUACCGUUGUGCGUCUGGGCUACUUCCGCCUCGAUUCUCGAACGAAUUUUUCGUGUCGGGUUUUGCGGCACUAAGGGAGGUAGUAGGGGCGGUAGUACCGCUCUAAGCGGUAGUACCGCCCUUCCCUAGCGGUAGUACCGCCCUGGUGUCAGGGCCCUGGGCAGCGCGGCAGUACCGCUGGGUCGAAGCGGUAGUACCGCCCGGAGCGGUAGUACCGCUUUUCCCUGGAGGUAGUACUGUCCUGGGGUCAGGGCCCUAGGCAGCGCGGCAGUACCGCUGGGUCGAGCGGUAGUACCACCCGGAGCGGUAGUACCGCCCUUCCCUAGCGGUAGUACCGCUCUGUGCGGGGCUGGUGAGUGGGAUAACGGUUGGAUUGUUCUUCCCACUAUAUAUAGGAGUCUUCUUCCCCAAAGUUAACCUACCACUUUCCCCCAAAGCUCCAUUGUUGCUCCAAGCUCCAUUUUCACCCGAUCUCUCUCCCUAGCCAAUCAAACUUGUUGAUUUGCUCGGGAUUGGUUGAGAAGGCCCAGAUCUACACUUCCACCAAGAGAAAUUUGAUUCCCCCCACUUAUCCCUAGCGGAUCUUGUUACUCUUGGGUGUUGAGCACCCUAGACGGUUGAGGUCACCUUGAAGCCAUACUCCAUUGUGGUGAAGCUUCUGGUGUUGUUGGGAGCCUCCAAGUGUUGUGGAGAUUGCCCCAAUCUUGUUUGUAAAGGUCCGGUUGCCGCCUUCAAGGGCUCCAAUAGUGGAAUCACGGCAUCUCGCAUUGUGUGAGGGCGUGAGGAGAUUACGGUGGCCCUAGUUGCUUCUUGGGGAGCAUUGUGCCUCCACACCGCUCUAACGAAUAUGUACUUCCCCUUAAAAGGAAGGAACUUCGGUAACACAUCCUCGUCUCCACCGGCUCCACUCUUGGUUAUCUUGUCCCUUUACUUUUGCAAGCUUACUUGAGUUAUAUCCAUUGCUUGCUUGUGUGCUUAUUGUCUUUGCAUCAUAUAGGUUGUCCAUGUAGUUGCACAUCUAGACAACCUAUUUCAUUGCAAGUUUUAAUUUGUUAAAGAAAAGUCUAAAAAUUGUUAGUUGCCUAUUCACCCCCCCCCCUCUAGUCAACCAUAUCGAUCCUUUCAAUUGGUAUCAGAGCCUCGUCUCUUUAUUAAGGACUUUGCCGUCCGAAGAGUAUGGUUGACGUCAACGACGGUGCGGAGGAACACUCCAGUGUGAAUCCCAUCUCGUCUUCGGCCGAAGGGGGAACGUCGGUCUCACGUGAGGAAUUCAAUGUGGCUUUAGACACAUUGAAAACCUCCAUGAUGGCCGAGGUUAAAAGCAUGUUUACUGAAUUUCUAGAGGGACUUAAACUAUCUACCUCACCAAUGAAAGUGGGUGAUCCCACUAACAAGGUGACGGAUGCUAACUCUGAUAAGGGGGAAGCUAACAAUGAAAAGAGUCCAUCUACUAGUGGUAGAAAUGGCACCAGCAUCUUUGCCCAUGUGGAACCUCCGGUGUAUAGAGGACCGAUCCCCUCUACUCAUUUGAAUCAUGCCGGUCCUCCUCCUAAAUAUGUGAAAAAUGAAGAUUUUGAUGCUUGGCUCUAUCGCUUCAAGCGUCACUUAAAACAUGUGAACACUAACCUUUGGAGAAUUAUUGAAGAAGGUUUCUAUCCUCAUGAUCCAAGCAACUUCACCCCUCGAGAAGAAGUGGACAAUCAAUUCAAUGAAAGUGCUCUCUUCAUCAUCCAAGAUGCAAUCCUCCCCGAAGAUAUCCCUCAUCUUCGACCUCAUGCCAUGGCUAAAGAAGCAUGGAAAUGUGUCGAGCGUCUCUAUCGAGGAAGUGCUAGCAUUCAACGCUCCAACUAUGAAGUGGUGCAAGAUGAAGCUGAUGAGUUUGCAAUAAAGAAGGAUGAAGAACCUCGUGAGCUCUUUCGAAGAGUGACCAAACUCACGGUCGCACUUCGAGAUCAUGGAAGCAAGGACACGGAUGACAACUGGAUCAAGCGCAAGUUCCUCAAGGCCAUGAUGCCCUACAACAAGGCCAUGUCCUCCGUCAUUCGCCAAAGACCGGACUUCCACUCCAUGACCUCUAGUGAAGUGUUGGAUGAGUUUGUUGCAAUGAGCAUCUUGGACAAGACCGCCAACAAUGCGGUGCUCCGUUCCCAAAGGGCAAAGAAGCCCAAUCUUGCCUUGAAGGCCAAGGCUAGUGUGGAAGAAGAAGAAGAAGAGGAAGAUGAGGAGAGCAACCCCGAGGACAUGAAGUAUAAUUAUCAUGAGCACAUGGCUCUUGCCUCAAGACAGUUUUGGAGUAAGAAGAAUACAAGACCCAACUUCAACAAGAACAACUCAAGUGGCCUCAAAGGGAAGCAACGAGUUAGAACCUGUUUCAACUGUGGCAAUGUUAGCCAUUUCGUUGCGGAUUGUCCCUACGAGAAGCGGGAAGACAAUGGUGGCAAGUUCAUCCGAAAAGACAAAGCCAAGUCCUUCCCAAACAAGAACAACUUCAACAAGAAGACUCCGUCUCGCGGGUUGGUGGUUCAAGAAGAAUACCGUGAGGAUGACGAUGAUGAUGAAGAUGGUGAAACAAUGGCCAUGGCAUCCGUUGCCAUUGUCACAACUCCCCGGGUGUCUCUCUUCGAUGCACCUAACGAGAACAUCACCGCCAAGUGCCUCAUGGCUAAGGCCACCAACAAGGUAACCUCCAACAUCAAAACCACCAUUAUUCCUAACCCUCCUUCAACGGAUGAUUUUGAUAAUGGUAAGGGGUCUAAUGAGGAGAUCAAUGAAUUUGAGUCCUUCAUGAGUAAGCUCAAGGGCAAAUCCAAGAAGCACUUCGUUGCUCUCUUGGAACAACUUGGUGAAGCCAAUGACAUGAUCGAGGCUCACGAAGAAACCAUCUCUAAGAUGGAAAGUCAUACUCAUGACUAUGCCGAUGAGAUAUCGGAUCUCUCUAAUGCUCUUGAGGAAGAGUGUGAGCAUCGUUUGGCUCUUGAGGAGUCACACAACGAUGGUCAUGCUAAACUAAAGAAAGAUCUUGAUCAUGCUCUUGUUGUGUCUCGUGUUCUAGCUUCCGAGAAGGCUAAGCUUGGGGUUGAUCAUGUUAGACUCACGGAGGAGUUUGAUGUACUUGACAUGGCCCACAAGGUCUUGAAAGGUGCUCAUGCUACCCUCAAGGAGUCUCAUGCUCAACUCCAAGUUAAGCUAACCAAGGAAAAGGCCACAUUUCCUCACAUGGUCUUAAUUGAUAAUGCAAAUGCUACUAACCCUUGUUGUGAGCAUGUGCAUCUUGUGGAGGAGAAUGCCAAGUUGAAGGAACAACUCGAGAAAGGUCUUGUGUCAUGCAUACAAGGCGAGAAGAACCUAAAUGACCUUUUGAGCAAUCAAAAGGAAGUUGUGGGCAAGGAGGGAGUUGGGUUCUCACCCAAAUCCAAGAACAAGAAGAAGAACAAGGAGAAGAAGAGCAAGACCGAUCGACCUCCUUCGCUCAUGCAAACCUUUGUGAGGGAGGGAGAAGGUGCUCCUAAGGAUAAGAAGAACAAUGGGAAGAGUGGUGAUGCCAAAGAGCGCAAAGCCAUCUCUCCCAACAAAGUCGGCGACUUUAACCCGUCUUAUGUGUUGUGCCGUGCUAGUGAUGGGCAUGUUUAUGCUAAAUUUGUUGGUUCUUCUUAUGAGUACAUUGAAUGGUCUAUUUGGGUUCCUAAGACCCUUGUUACUAACAUCAAAGGACCCAUUACUCAAGGGUACCUAAAACCAAGCAUUGAUCUCUUGUAGGUGUUUGCUUCCGGUGGGGGGUCAUGGUUGCUCGAUAGUGGAGCAACAAAUCAUAUGACCGGGAGCAAGGACUUGGUGGUGGACGUGCACAAGAUCCCAUCUAUGCCCACCAAUGUCGAAUGGGGUGAUGCCUCACAUUCUAAGGUAUUGGGUCUUGGCAAGGUUUUCAUUUCUCACGAUCUAACGAUCGAGAAAGUCAUGCUUGUUGAGUCCCUUGCGUUCAAUUUACUUUCCGUUUGUCAACUCGCACUCAUGGGUUUUGCCACCUUCUUUGAUAUUGAUACCGUGGCCCUCUUGUGGAGCAAGACUCUUAAAGUAGCCUUUGUUGGGCAUGUCGAGAACGGUCUCUAUGUGGUUAACUUCUCGGAGCAACCCACUAAGACCAUGACAUGCCUAAUGGCUAAAGUUGAUGUGGGAUGGCUUUGGCAUCGCCGUUUAGCCCACGUCAAUAUGAGAUCUUUGCAAAGUCUUCUCAAGGGGGACCAUGUUCAUGGACUAACGAAUGUUAGUUUUGCCAAACAUCGUGUUUGCAGUGCUUGUAUCGAAGGAAAGCUUCAUGAGACGGCUCACCCUCCCACGACUAUCAUCUACUCGAAGAGACCCUUGGAGCUCCUCCACAUGGACCUCUUUGGGCCCCCAUCCUUUGACAGUCUUGGGGGUAGAAAGUAUUGCUUGGUGAUAGUAGAUGAUUAUUCAAGAUACACUUGGGUAUACUUCUUCAAGAGGAAGAGUGAGACUCAACAAACCAUCAUCGACUUUGCAAAUGAAGCUCAACGUCAACACAAUGCAAAGAUCUUGACAAUAAGAAGUGAAAACGGCACCGAGUUCAAGAACUACACCUUGGAUGAGUUUCUUAGUGAUGAAGGGAUUAAGCAUCAAUAUUCUGCACCAUAUACCCCUCAACAAAAUGGUGUUGCGGAGAGGAAGAACCGGACGUUGAUGGAUGCGGCAAGAACCAUGAUGGCGGAGUUCAAGUCUCCAUACAACUUUUGGGCCGAGGCCAUCAACACAGCUUGUCAUGCAUCCAAUCGGCUCUAUCUCCACAAAGGCUUGAACAAAACUCCGUAUGAGAUACUCACCGGGAACAAGCCCAAUCUCAAGUACUUCCGGGUGUUCGGGUGUAAGUGUUUCAUUCUCAAGAAAGGUGUUCGUUUGUCUAAAUUCGAGGCUAGAGCUCAUGAGGGCAUAUUUGUUGGUUAUGCUACAAACUCUCAUGCUUACCGUGUUUUCAACAAGUCCAAUGGGCUCAUUGAGGAGACGUGUAACAUAGAGUUUGAUGAAAAUAACGGCUCCCAAGUGGAGCAAAGUGGUACUUGUGAUGUAGGUGAUGAAAUUCCUCCUCAAGCCAUAAGAAGAAUGGGUAUUGGUCAUAUCCUACCCAUUGAGGAACCCCUUGUGGCCGAAGGAGAAGGACAAUGCUCCACCUCAGUGGAGCCUUCACCUACUCAAGACCCACACGCUUCCAAAGAACAAAGUGAAGGCCCUCAACCUAAGGAACAAGACCAAGGGCAAGAUCAAUCACAAGAUGGUGAUGAACCUCCACAUGAUGCCCAAGGUCAAGUUCUUCCCCUCGAGCAAGUUCAAGAUCAUGAGCAAGCUCAAGAUCAAGAACAAGCUCAUGACGACGCUCAAGAUGAUCAAGUGAACCCUCCUCCUUCGACAUCCGAGGAGGAAUUGGAGCGUCGUGCCGCGAAGAUUGCUUCCAAACUCACCACCAAAGGUCAUCUCAUGGAGAAUGUGGUUGGAAGCCUAAGAAAGUGGGUAAGCACUCGUAGACAGUUAGCAAACUAUUGUGAACAUCAUGCGUUUGUCUCUUGUGUUGAACCCCAUAAGGUCUAUGAGGCGCUCAAAGACUCGGAUUGGCUCAAUGGCAUGCAUGAAGAACUCAACAACUUUGAGUACAACAAGGUGUGGAGAUUGGUGCCAAGGCCUUCCGGGAACCAUAACAUCAUUGGAACCAAGUGGAUCUUCAAGAACAAGCAAGAUGCUCAUGGAAACAUCAUUCGCAACAAGGCAAGAUUGGUAGCACAAGGCUACUCCCAAGUCGAGGGUAUCGACUAUGGUGAAACCUUUGCUCCCGUUGCUCGUCUUGAAUCCAUUCGUUUGUUGAUUGCUUAUGCUUCCCAUCACAACUUUAAGUUGCAACAAAUGGAUGUUAAAAGUGCUUUUCUUAAUGGUCCUAUUAAUGAGUUGGUCUAUGUCAAGCAACCCCCCGGGUUCAAGGAUCCCUUCUUCCCGGAUCAUGUGUAUCAACUCGAUAAGGCGCUCUAUGGCCUUAAACAAGCCCCACGUGCGUGGUAUGACCACCUUACCGAGUUGUUACAAGAUCGUGGAUUUGAAGUGGGGCUAAUCGAUCCCACUCUUUUUACUAAGAAGGUCAAAGGGGAGUUGUUUGUAUGCCAACUAUAUGUUGAUGACAUUAUCUUUGGUUCCCCUAACAAAGCUUUCAAUGAAGAAUUUGCCGCUCUCAUGACCUCUAAGUUCAAGAUGUCUUCGAUGGGAGAGUUGAAGUUCUUCCUUGGUUUUGAUAUCAAACAAAGAAGAGAAGGUACCUUCAUCAACCAAGCCAAAUACACUCAAGACAUGCUCAAGAGAUUCAAGUUAAGUGAUGUCAAGCCGGCUUCUACUCCAAUGCCCACCAAGUGCCAACUUGACAUUGAUCCCAAUGGUAAAGCGGUGGAUCAAAAGGUAUAUCGCUCCAUGAUUGGCUCCUUGCUUUACCUUUGUGCAUCUAGACCAGAUAUCAUGUUGAGUGUGGGGAUGUGUGCACGGUUUCAAGCUGCACCGAAGGAAAGUCACUAUGUGGCAGUCAAGCGAAUCUUUCGAUAUUUAGCUCAUACCCCGAACUUUGGCUUAUGGUACCCAAGAGGGGCAAACUUCAAGCUUGAAGGGUUUACGGAUUCUGAUUGGGCGGGAGACAAAGUGGAUAGGAAGUCCACUUCCGGAGGGUGCCAGUUUCUUGGGUGCUCUUUGGUGAGUUGGUCUUCCAAAAAGCAAAGUUGUGUGUCUCUCUCGUCCACCGAAGCAGAAUAUGUGGCGGCCGGUAGUUGUUGUGCACAACUCUUGUGGAUGAGGCAAACUUUAAAGGAAUACGGUGUCAUUUGUGACAAAGUGCCUCUUUGGUGUGACAACGAAAGUGCCAUCAAGAUUUCUCUCAACCCGGUGCAACACUUCAAGACGAAGCACAUUGAGAUUCGGUAUCACUUCAUCCGGGAUCACAUUAGGCGAGGAGAGAUCGAGCUCAAGUAUGUCAACACUCAUGAUAACCUUGCAGAUAUUUUCACGAAGCCCUUGGAUGAAGCAAGAUUUCACGAGUUAAGGCAUGAGCUAAAUAUCAUUGAUUCGAGCAAUGUGACUUGAACCCUUGCACACCCCACCCCACUCAACUUGGUAUCUAGCUUAGAUGUAGGCAUGGACAUAGGGGGAGUGUUGUUCUCUCAAUGAACUUUCCCUCCCCCCAUUAUGCAUAAAACGAUCAACUCUUUCACAAUAGCCAUUUUUUAUGGUACUUGUGCUUCAAAGACGAGUUUUGGUCAUGGGCCCAAGGAUAAUUCUUCGCGGUGCCAUACCAAUUGACUCAAACAUAGGUGGAUCCGGCCACCGCCCUCUCCUGAGAGAGGCCAGAGCUUGCUCUGUUUCGUGUGGUUGUUUGUGUUUGAGUUGUUUCUGGUCUGUUGUGUGUGUGUGUGUUGCCGCGUCGGUCCUCUCGUUCUUUUGGCUUUGCUUUCCGUUUCUCUUUGAGCGCUAACCGUUGGUCUAGAUGCAGUGUGGUUGCUGAAGAGGUACUACCGCUGGUGGCGAGCGGUACUACCGCUCUUAGCGGUACUACUGCCCUCCAGAGCGGUACUACCGCUCCCAGCGGUACUACCGCCCUCCAGAGCGGUACUACCGCUGUGAGGCGCGGGCUGGGGGUUAUAUCGGGGGCAGGGGGAGUUUCUUCUCCCCCAUACCCAUUCGCUCACCCCCUUCGCGUUGUUCAUCUCUCUCUUUAGCAACCGGCGCUGCGGGAGGGCUUUGGUGGAUCUCCCUCUCCGGGGCACUCCUCUCCGUUUCCUUUGGUGGAAUCGAUCCCCACCUUGUCCUCUUGCCAUGGAUGCCGGUAGUGCCCCCGUUCCCUGUUUCCUUUGGUCUAGAUUUCCAAUCUAGCGUUCUAGGGGCAAUAGCAGUUGCAUCUCUAGAUUUUUGUCCAGAUCUAGGCUUGAGUAGGAUGGAGAAUGCUUCUAGACUGUUUGGAUUAGUGUUUGAUUGGAGUAUUUUUGAAUUUGGUAGGACGGUAGUACCGGAUCUGACCACGGUAGUAGGAAACUGCUGUUUCCCUGCCUUGAGCGGUACUACCGCUCUCCUAGAGCGGUACUACCGCUGAGAGCGGUACUACCACUCUCUCCAGAGCGGUACUACCGCUCAAGGGUCACGGUACUACCGCCUUCUACCUAGUUCCAUCAUCCUCCUACCUCUCAGUGAUCUUUUUUGUUCGUGCUUGUGGCUUACGCUCGUUCUUUCUGGUUGUUUGCGUGUUUGUGUGUGUGGUUCCAGGUGAUGCGGUUCCUGAGCAUCAGGCUCGUCGUGUCAACCCCGGUCGUGCCUCGUCCAAGCGCUACCGCACCACUAAGCCCACUGAGCCUGUCGGAGGAUCUUCUAGUGCUCCACCUCCUCCCCAACUGCAGAAGAAGCCUGGGGUCAAGCCAAAGCCAAGCAAAACCAUGCCAGAAAUGCUGCCCAAGGAGUUCUGGGCAAGGCGCCGCCGCAACCCGUAUGAGGUCGACCAAGAUCCCACUUUGGUCAACCGUCCGUUCUGGAACAGGUUCCAGUUUGCCAUCUAUUUUGAUGUUCUCAAAGCCAAGAAGAAUCUCUAUGUCAAUGUGCACUCCAUCGACACCGAGCAUAUGGAGAAUGAUCCUGACUACUUUGGUGAAGCUCUUCAGAUGUGCACUCAGCUGAACAUUCUCGGGAUCAUGCAAUUCAACAAGGACUAUGAUGCUGAUAUUGUGGCCCAAUUCUAUGCCACGGUUCACCUUGGGACCGAUGAGGACAGGACUCUGACUUGGAUGGCAAUUGGCAAGUUGUUGUCAGUCAAGUGGAAAGCUUUCAUGCAGUUGAUUGGGGUGGAAGAUCUUGGACUUGAGUCUUCUGUCGGCUUUCGCCCCCACCGUCGCACCAAUGCCACUCACAAGCAAGCUCUGUGGCCCUACUGCACUCUAAGGAUCAACCAUGAGACGAAGAAGGAGACCUAUGAGCUGCCUGCCUAUCUGGACAUUCUUCACCGUAUCUUCAGAGAGACUCUUUUCCCUCGCAUCAGGAAUCUAGACCAAGUUCACUCUUAUCUCGUGGACAUGCUUCUCUUCUAUCAGCGGGAGAAGGGGCAGAGCACCGGAGAGUCCUUGGAUAUCUCUCAUGUUAUGUGGUCUAAGCUGGUUUCUGCUAUCUCCGAGCGCAAGUGCCUGAUUUAUGGUCCAUUCAUUAUGCUGCUCAUUGAGAAGGCAUGGGAUCGUGUCUAUCCCAAGGUGGUGCUGGAGAUUGGAGAGUUGGUUUCUCACGAUGUCAAGCGUCUGAGGAAGAAGGAUAACUGGGGCACUCAGGCCCCUAGGACUAGAGUUCCUUCAUCUGCUGUUGCCAUGGAGACUGAGGAGGAGUUUGGGGCUGAGGCUGAGGAUGAAGAUGAUGACUACGUGCCUUCUGAGGCAGAGCCCUCUUGGGCCAAGAAGCUCAAGAUCAAGGUGAAGAAGUUGUUUUGCAUGGAGUCUCACGGUCAGUACAUGACUCAUGUGGCUGAGAAGAAGGCCCGAGGUCGCCACAAGGAGCUCAUGCGUCAGAUGAGUGCUAUUGUGAUUAGUGGUUCUGAGGAUCAGCUUACCGAGGAGGAGGAGUGGAUUCAGCAGCACUGUCCCUAGACUGAUUCUGAUGCUGAGCACUUCCCGGCUGACGAUGGUAACGCAGAUGAUCCCUCUGAGAUCUGAUGGGUGUCCAUCGUUUGCCUUCACCUGGAGCCGUAGCAACACUCCCUCUCCUUUUUGGUGUCUCGAUGCCAAAGGGGGAGAGAGUUUAGGGAUUUGCGUUUUGUGUCUUCCGUCUUUUGUGUUUGUGCUUUUGUUUGUUGCUUUAUUUGGUUUGUGUCAGUGAGACCUAAGUUCUGGCUCUGUCAGUAAGACCUAAGCUCGAGUCAUAUGGUGUGAGACAUAUGCUACCUUAUCUUUCCAUUUCAUUUUCUAUGUCUAUCUAGCUUAUGAGUUCCAUACUUAUCCUGUUAUAUUUAUGUUGCUCUCAUAUCUUGCUUAGGUAGUUGGUCUCUAAAAUGAAGGGGGGGCAUUGCUCCUGGCAUCUGUGCCGUGCAGUCCAAAGCACUUUUCUAGGUAGCACACAUCCAGGGGAGGCCCUUCGACAUUAUAGGACGGUUGUGCUUUUGCGCUUAUCCUAUAUCUAUCAUAUUGUGCAAAUCCCGUAUUGUCAUCAAUCCACCAAAAAGGGGGAGAUUGUAAGGGCAUAUUUAUUCCCAAUAUGUUUUGGUGAUUGAUGACAAUGCUUGUGCGGACUAAUCGUGUGCGUUUAGUUCUUUUAGAGAUUCAUCCAUUGGCACGAGACGAUUUCCUCCCCUCGGUGUUGUAAUUCAAGACGGUGUAGCUCCUUUGUUUCGUUGUUGGUGGACUAGUUUUGUAGGAGUCACUGUACUAUCAAGAGGGGAUCUGUUUUGGUAAGACUUGGGUGGAAUCACACGUACACAUCCUUAUCACACCCGUCGUCUUUCCUUUCGCAUCUCUGGAGCUGCCGUUUUCCCCUUACUAUGCUCUGCUCUGCCCUAGCGGUAGUACCGCGUCCACAGCGGUAGUACCGCCAAAACUCCACAGUGGUAGUACCGCUCUCAGAGCGGUAGUACCGCUCCGAGCGGUAGUACCGCUCUUAGAGCGGUAGUACCGCUUGGGUUUUUCGGCCGUAGUACCGUUGUGCGUCUGGGUUACUUCCGCCUCGAUUUUCGAACGAAUUUUUCGUGUCGGGUUUUGCAGCACUAAGGGAGGUAGUAGGGGCGGUAGUACCGCUCUAAGCGGUAGUACCGCCCUUCCCUAGCGGUAGUACCGCCCUGGUGUCAGGGCCCUGGGCAGCGCGGCAGUACCGCUGGGUCAAAGCAGUAGUACCGCCCGGAGCGGUAGUACCGCUCUUCCCUGGCAGUAGUAUCGCCCUGGGGUCAGGGCCCCAGGCAGCGCGGCAGUACCGCUGGGUCGAGCGAUAGUACCGCCCGGAGUUGUAGUACCGCCCUUCCCUAGCGGUAGUACUGCUCUGUGCGGGGCUGGUGAGUGGGAUAACGGUUGGAUUAUUCUUCCCACUAUAUAAAGGGGUCUUCUUCCCCAAAGUUGACCUACCUCUUUCCCCCAAAGCUCCAUUGUUGCUCCAAGCUCCAUUUUCGCCCGAUCUCUCUCCCUAGUCAAUCAAACUUGUUGAUUUGCUCGGCAUUGGUUGAGAAGGCCCAGAUCUACACUUCCACCAAGAGAAAUUUGAUUCCCCCCACUUAUCCCUAGCGGAUCUUGUUACUCUUGAGUGUUGAGCACCCUAGACGGUUGUGGUCACCUCGAAGCCAUACUCCAUUGUGGUGAAGCUUCGUGGUGUUGUUGGGAGCCUCCAAGUGUUGUGGAGAUUGCCCCAAUCUUGUUUGUAAAGGUCCGGUUGCCGCCUUCAAGGGCUCCAAUAGUGGAAUCACGGCAUCUCGCAUUGUGUGAGGGCGUGAGGAGAUUACGGUGGCCCUAGUGGCUUCUUGGGGAGCAUUGUGCCUCCACACCGCUCUAACGGAGACGUACUUCCCCUUAAAAGGAAGGAACUUCGGUAACACAUCCUCGUCUCCACCGGCUCCACUCUUGGUUAUCUUGUCCCUUUACUUUUGCAAGCUUACUUGAGUUAUAUCCAUUGCUUGCUUGUGUGCUUAUUGUCUUUGCAUCAUAUAGGUUGUCCACGUAGUUGCACAUCUAGACAACCUAUUUCAUUGCAAGUUUUAAUUUGUUAAAGAAAAGUCUAAAAAUUGUUAGUUGCCUAUUCACCCCCCCCCCCUCUAGUCAACCAUAUCGAUCCUUUCAGAGGGGCUGCGGCCCCUCCUUCCUUCCCUUCUUUCUUCCCUUUCCUUGACUCCUACUCCUACUACAUGGAAGGGGGGAAUCCUACUCCCGGUGGGAGUAGGACUCCCCAGGGCGCAUCAUAGAGAGGGCCGGCCCCUCCCCUCCUCUCCUCCUUUAUAUACUGAGGCAAGGGGCACCCUAUAGACAUAACAAUUGAUCCUUGAGAUCUAUUAGCCGUGUGCGGUGCCCCCCUCCACCAUAUUCCACCUUGAUAAUAUCGUAGCGUUGCUUAGGCGAAGCCCUGCGUCGGUAGAACAUCAUCAUCGUCACCACGCCGUCGUGAUGACGGAACUCUCCCUCGAAGCUCGGCUGGAUCGGAUUUCGAGGGACGUCAUUGAGCUGAACGUGUGUUGAACUCGGAGAUGUCGUGCGUUCGGUACUUGAUCGGUCGGAUCGUGAAGACAUACGACUACAUCAACCGCGUUGUGCUAACGCUUCCGUUUACGGUCUAUGAGGGUACAUGGACAUACUCUCCCCUCUCAUUGCUAUGCAUCACCAUGAUCUUGCGUGUAUGUAGGAAAUUUUUUGAUAUUACUAUGUUCCCCAACACUUCCAACCAAGUAUCAAGAUUCUACUCCCGGGUGAACUUACUGAUGCCAGUCGCCAAUCUAAAGUUGUGAGGGAUCUCAGCGGCUCAGAUGGCUCUUCCGAAACACUCAGGGCCGGAAACGUGCACCCUGCUUCCACCGGGUCUAUCUCUAUCCAACCCUUCUCUGUAUGCUCUGUUUCAGUCGACCAAACCUUGUAUAAGGACUGACCUUGCGUCGAACCCAGGCUCUUUUGGGUUGACUGGAACUCUGCGGUCAUUACCAUACGGGCGCCUGUCAUCAUACCGCCGGGGCGCGUAUGACCCAUCCCUCGGAGGGGGUGAAGGCACUCGACGGUGGUUGUCACGGGCACAGUCACGAUCAAACUCUCCAUGAGCUCUUCCCAGGUGUCGAUCUCGACGGCGAUCAUGAUCUUCACGUCGCAAAGGCGACCCAGGACUAUGUGUUGACUAAACUGUAUCUGCCCUUACUGACCUGCUGUGGAUCCUGUUUCGCGACUGGGAAGCGGCGGAGUUCAGCUCUCUUGCUGCCCGGAGCAGCGCUCGGAUCUGUUCCAAGCCUCUUGCAGCUUCUGAACAGGACAGCUGAAUAGACUCUGCUAUACGUGCAGCCGCUGUAAGAUUCUGGAUCGGAGUGAGGUGUACCUGAGGUUCAGGCAGAAACAAUUGCCGUUGACGUCGACUGGAUUCGGGGAUCAGUCGAUGGGCGCGUUCGUCGAGAGAAUGUUGGAGAUUCUCCAAAUGCGCGCGCUCAGCCAAUGUGGCGAGGCGCGCAACCUCCAAGGCCCGAGCCUCGGCGGUUUCCCCUAUGAUGGGUGUCUGGAGGGCCUCCACGUUGCAGCGGUGCAACUCUUCCCUCUGCUGCGAAUUGAGAGGUUGGGGCUCGUACUCCUCGUGGCCGAAUGACGGGCCGUCGCUGUCACCGUUGCCGCUGUUAUGCUGAAACCCGGGUGGGCUGCGAUGGGAGUCGACCAUGAGAACUUCUGCGGCGGGGUCACAGCUCCCGCGCUCGGAAAAAGUAUCCAUAGAGCCAGUCGACGGGUCGACUGGACCGUAGUGAGAUUCGUCGGGCUCGAUCAUCGCGACUUGUGGGGUGGCCAUUUGACGGGCCACCGCAUGCUUGACCCAAUGUUGGAGCCGCGACCGACCGAAUCGCUUGCGGAGGUGACCAGCGGAGUGAGCAGAAGAUGUGAGGGCCGACCAAUACGGAGUCAACGGCUGUCGUAGAAGAACGUCGCAGGCACUCACGUGGAAGUGCGACGCCCCACGGAUCGGAAGAGCCUCGACAUCGAUGGGGGCUUCUUGGAGCCAGGCGGAGUCGUCGGCGACGAAAGUGAGCGCGCUGGGUCGGAACUCGCAGCCCAUGACCAAACCGCCGCUGGAAACCAUGUUGAUGAAGAUCGAAAAAAUGCAACCUCACCGGAAGUUGCCAAGACGCUUUGCCCCAUGGUGGGCGCCAACUGUCGUCGUACUAAGUCUGACAGUAAGAGUAGGGGUGCGUAUGAGGAGGCAAGGCCCUAGCUACGGCGAGGUUGUACACACGAGUUUACAAGUUCAUGCCCCUCUCGGAGGAGGUAAAAGCCCUACGUCUCGGUGCCCUAAGGUGGUCGACUGGAAUAUGGGUGUGUGUUACAAGGGGUGCGAACCCUUGUCUGAGAGGAGGGGGUGGAUUAUAUAGAGUGCGCCAGGACCCCAGCCAUCCUCCGUUACAGGGUUCAAUGUACAUUAAGACAGGGCGUUCUGGUAACACCAGCUAUAAAGUGCUAUUAAUGAGACACCUGAGUGAACGUCUGACCGUUGCUAUCCUGAGCGACUCUAGGUCUUCUGUACUCCAGGUAGUUUCCUGUAUGGUCGAAUGACUUCAUCCAAGUUGAGUGAAAUUGGGGGUAUCCGAGUGAGGUGACUGGUCGAGUGGAUUGCACUCCAUGGAUACUUCAGUCGGUAUUUCUUGCUAUACUUUGAAUAUCCUUGAUUUUAGGGUAGUGACAUUGGGUAGGGCGUAUAGGUCAGGCCUAUGACCCUGCCCUAGGUUCAUGGCAUCAUCAGGAGGUUCACAUUGUUGAUGGAUGCGACAUGCAAGAAGCUCAAGCUCGAAAAAAGGACCAUGAUCGAAGAGAGCAAGGUCGUGCUCGAGGAAGAGGGUGACGAUCGCCGCCAAUGCGGAGGACGCCAAGAUGUUAGACCUUAAAUGUCGACUCUUUGGACGCCGAUUCAAGAAUGUUCGUGCAAUCUGUCCGCUACCAAAUGUUGCAGUGACAGAAAGAUAGAUUGGUGGCGGCGGACUAUGAAGACGCGGUGGAGGCGGACUAUGAAGAUCGCCGCUAUUGCCCAAAUUCUUACUUUAAAUUUCCUUGUGGACAAACAAGACGUUAAAAUUAACUAUGCUUUCAUGAAAUACGGCCAGUGUAAGAAUUAAUAAGAUUUCUAAUACGUGGUUAGUAGGGGGAAAAUCUUAAGUCGUUUGCUUGUGGUUUUGUAUGUAUGUAUCUUAUCAAAAUAUAUAAGACAAUUUUAUUGAUCAUAUACGCGAGCAUUCGCCAGAAAUUAUAUAAUUAGGUCCCACGACUACGCCGCGUGAAAAGAAUGCAGCUACUGUUCGAUAUAAUAGUAUAAGGUGGGCGGACCCGGCUGACCCAGCGAGUCACCCGACUUUGUUGACCCAAAUCUCGUUUAAUACCGACUCACAUGACCCAUUGGCCUUGAAAUUGUAAGCGACCCGACGGGCCAAACUGGGCCGUUCCUAUCCUGACACAAAACCCUAGGAUGUAUCAAUUGUACCUGUGAACCUUCAGUAAUAAAAAUUGUGGAUAAUGCACUAUAUUAUUUAUUCAAACAAAUCACUAGAUCAACUAAUAAACCUUCAAUAAGCCACAUAACGUAUGUAUGCAUCUAGCUACUUCAAGUGUAGAAAAAAAUGCUGAGAAUAUAUAUGCUACUAUGUUCAAAAAUAUAUGUUGUAUUGAUUUUUUUUAUUUUUGAGUAAGUCAAACUUCGCUAUGUUUGACGCAAAACAUCAAUUUCAAUAACUAUAAUACCGAAUCAAUAUCAUUAGAUUCAUCAAAAUAUACUUUCAUGCUUUAUAUAUUUUUCUAUAAAUUUUGACAAACAUAAAAAAAUGGCUUUUGAAAAAUUAAUACACCUUAUAUUUUUAAUACAUGAACUUUUUUAAUUCAUCACUUUUAUAAAUAUCACUAACAUUUAAUAAACAAUUUUUGAGCAUUUUUAGAAUUCAUGAAUAUUUAUUAAAUUCAUGAAUACUUUUCAUCCAUGAGAAUAAUUCUAAAAUAUGUAAUUUUUUAAGGUUUGUGUAUAUUCUUAGAGUCCUUUAAAAAUCAUGGAUAUUUUUGUAAAUUCACGAACAUUUUAAAAUGCCGUGAUCAAAUUGAAAGUUUAUGAAGAUUUUUUUAACUGACAGACAUUUUUUUAAACACACGCUUUUUCAACAUGAAUAUUUUCAAAAACAUGGGACGAAGAUUUUGAGAAAGCACGAAAAAAACUGAAAUAUUAUUUUGCAAAUAAUAUAUUUUAUUAAAUAUAAAUAAGUUUUACAAAUAAAAACUGACAAUAAAUGCAGAUAUACAACCAAAAAUCUGGAGCAGAAAACCUGAAAUAUAGCCGGAACCAAAGGCACGGCAGAUGUACUAGAUGGGCCCGCCCAUUGAUUAGCAGCACUCGAGUUUCAGCGCGGGAGAUUAAAAAAAACUCUCUUUUGCCUAAAAUAAAAAAUCUCCUAAGGCCUCGUUUGGCACAAAGGGAUUUGGGAGGAAUUCGGAGGCGAGGAUUUGGGAGGAUUUGGUGAAUCCCUCCCUUCCACCCAAUCCCCUGAAAACCCCUUGAAUCCCCAAAACCCCUCCAUCCCCAAUCCUUAAUUUCUGUUUGGUAGGCAAGGUUUGUCAAAUUGACAUAACAUACAAUGUAACUAACUCCCUUAUAUCCUUGCUACAGAAUUGUAAAGGCCACCUAAUAAAAAUGAGAAAAGCUGCUACAGGGGAAUAAUUUAGCAGCAGUUUUUCCCAGCAGCAACAUAAUUUUGCAUGACUCGAAAUCAAUAUAUCAUCACAACAACAUCAUAAUUUAUCAUAAUAACAUGGCUUCGAAUCCCAAAUCCCAGGAAUCAUAAUUUAUCAUGACAACAUGAUCUUUCGCAGCAACAACAGUUCAUCACAGCCCCAACAUAAUUUUGCAGCAAAGAUAACGCAACACAAGUACUUCUGGAAUAGCUCAAGAUCAGUUAUAAUUUCGCAUACAGAUAUAUCCAUCUUUUGGUGUCAUGAUCAUCUAUCUUUGAGAAUCUGAGAGAAAGUUGUCCCUCCAGCUUGUUUAUUGUUGCUUCUUUUGGUGCUUGAGAACCUGAUGAAACAAAUAGAGAUGAAUAUUAGAGUGCCUUCAGAAUAACUUAUAACUAUAAGUUUUGCUAGAUGAACAUUAGAGUGCCUUCUGGAACAUAAGUAGGCCUGUAGUACAGCAAGUUUCAGGAACAGAACAAGCAAGGAGUAUUGUACUUGUAGUAGGAGCAUUGUACUACUAGCAAGAAACAAGCUGCAUAUAUUAAAGCAAAGUUUCCAGCAAGCAACAUUAAUUUAAUUUUUUCUUCAUUUUCUUUUUGUAGGUGCGCAGCAAGCAAACAGGAGUACUCCAAACAAUACAGAUGGUACUACUGAUACAAGCAAUACAGAUAACACUGCGCAACCAAAUACUUGCUACUGACAAUAUCUUGGUACUGCAAGAAGCUACAGCAACACUGAAUUUAUAUUGGAGCUACAGAAAAUCCUACUCCUGAUUUAAUGGCAUUUGUAAAUGGAGGGAGAACAAGUUAGCAAAGUCCAUUACAUAGAUUCAGUUCAAUGGAAAUGGACCAAGUUAGCUAGCUAGCUAGAUAAUAAAUCGAUGACAGAAAUAAGAACCAAUCUGAACCAAUCUCUCGAUGACAUAGAAUCAAUCAACAGAGUCAAAAAUAAGUAGUUACUAGUACUUAGUAUCAGUGCCACAUAUUGCAGGAAUGAACCUCGGCAAUUAAACUAGGAAUAAACUGAAUGAGUUCGCAAAACAUUCAGCUAAUCCAUAUGAACCAACCAAACUAGGAAUAAACUGAACUUGUGUACCACCACAGAUCUAGAUUCAGUUUAGUUCAGGUUUUCCAUGUCUCAAGGUCUAUAACAUUGAAGCUCACACUUUAGCUCAGCUGCAUCAAUCAGGAAAUUCUAGCCUUUGAUUCAGAUUAUCACAGAUGUACUACAACUACAGGGAACUGUUAAUGAAUGAAUGGCGCCUAUAAGUCUCCUCGCCAAACAGAACUGUUAUUUUUUAGAUGAACAAAUCUGUCAAGUGGGCUAGCAGAUUAUCGCAGACAAACAAAUGAGCACAAGUCAAGUGGGCUAUGCUUACCAUCAGGAUUAAACAAUUAACUAAUCAACUACGGACUCUUUUUUGUUACAAAAAUGAAACGGGGAAGGAUGAACUCUUGACAGAUGAACUCUGUCAAGCAGGAAUGAUUUGUUUGGUUCAUUGUUAUAAGGUAUGCAUGUUUUAACUGCAAUUAUACUUUGUUUCCAGUCUACUAAAUUAUUAACUCUGCGUUCAAUGUUAUUGCAAAUGCAGGUGGGGCAGUAUAAACUACCCAGGAAGCUGGACAUAUCUUGGAGAGAAACUAGCAGAUAUCAUAAUGUGAAGUCAAUACUUGUGCCAUUUGGUGGAGUGUCUGCUGACUGUCUUAACUUCUUUUAGAAAUACUUCAUGCUGACUAUUGGUGUAUAGGUUUGUUCUUAGAUCUAACUAAGCGUCUUUUUGAUAUUUGGGAACACAAGCAUGUCUAAGUUUUGGGGUAGAAAAUUUUGACAGCACAUACUGUAUGUAGAAGAUAGUCACAUGACAGAGUUAGCUGAUACAUCAUACACAGUGUGUAUCUUCCUCGAUGACAGAAUCUCACUGACUGUAAGGUUCAGUGCAAGUAUAAUGUUGCCUGUAUGUAUAGAAUAAUCCGUUGAGACCCGCAAAGAGAAAUAGCCAUUUGUACUAUGCGUAAUAGCCAUUUGUACUAAUCAACUACGGACUUCUCCAUGCUUAAGUCUUUGAUCUUCUAGCGAAACUCGCCUACUACUACGCACAUCAAGGUGACAGUUUCAUAACCACUAACAGCAGAAUAUUGCUUAAAAGGUAGAGGUAACUAAGCAUUGAGAAGGUUAGCAGGAGUGCAUCCUCGCCCAUCUGCACUGUCCGGCAGACACAUCCUAUGCUUUCUUGGCAAUCUUAGGGUUAGGGUAAAGAGGAGCUAGAGGAGGCGGGCAUUCUUGGCAAGCUAGCUGGGUAGGCCUAGGGUUAGGGUCGUUCUUGGCGUGCUCGCCGGUGAGGACGAGGCGGACGGAGGGCGUACGGGCGGUGGCAGCCAUGGAGAGGAGGGGGGAGGGGAGGGGAGGGGCUGCGAUGACUAACCACCAGUGAGAAGUCCAGUAUGCCGGAGGAGAUCACCGGCGUCGAGGCGUCGGGUGGCGCGGCGACUUGGGGAGGAGGCGGCGCAGCGGCGGCGGCGGCGUCUCGAGUCGAGCAGCCAAAUCCUCUAGGGGGCCUCGAUGAUUCUGAACCGCGUGGGAACGGGUGGGUCGAAAGGGAAUCGAGGGGAUUGGGCCGUCCAAACCACGCCUACCAAAUGGGCCAACGGGUAUUUGGGGGGAUUCUGGGUCUCGCGGGGUUUAUCCUCUGCAAACCCCUCCAAUCCACGCUAAACAAACGAGGCCUGGGAUGUGAAGAUCGGUGCUAAAGCAGGUGCCAGAG
This 58416-nucleotide long non-coding RNA is filed under the name Triticum aestivum (bread wheat). RNAcentral describes it as "long non-coding RNA (TAES_LNC015906)". The record is from RNAcentral. Lineage: Eukaryota; Viridiplantae; Streptophyta; Magnoliopsida; Poales; Poaceae.